Molecule: long non-coding RNA, 47074 nt
Filed under: Zostera marina
Lineage: Eukaryota; Viridiplantae; Streptophyta; Magnoliopsida; Alismatales; Zosteraceae
Description: long non-coding RNA (ZMAR_LNC003832)
Source: RNAcentral
AGAAGUCGUCAAACUCGGGGGGGAGUAUCAUAAACUCUUCCCGACACUUUUGUCGCUUUGGCCAGAAGAUGUCAAACCAUGAGCACGAUAGAUCUGUCGCUUCGGCGUGACAAUUUAUGUUUAGGUCCGUGACAAUGUCUUGGGGAAUGCCGAAUCGACAGACUAUGGAACGGUAAAUAAACUUGACUGCCGCAUCCUGAGUGAUUUUCGCCACAGCCUGAGCCUCGACCCACUUUGUAAAGUAGUCUACUGCUACAAAGAUGAAUCGAGCCUGUGAUGUUGAGGGUGGGAAUGGGCCUACGAUGUCCAACCCCCAUCUUGCGAACGGGAUUGAGCUCAGAAUCGGAGUCAUUUCCGUGGAUGGUUUCUGCUGGAUAGGGCUGUGCAGCUGACAUGCUCGGCACUUGCGGACGUAAGUGCGAGCUUCCAACCUUAAGGUGGGCCAAUAGUACCCGAGCCUUAUGAUUUUAAAGGCUAAUGCUCUUCCCCCUUCAUGGAGUCCGCAUGAGCCUUCAUGUACUUCCUGAAGCACCCUACUAGUAUCGGGUUGGGCCAAACAGCGUAGCAAAGGACUAUCGAAAGAUUUUUUGUAAAGUACCCCUCCGACAUCACAGUAUUUUGCUGCUUUGUGUUUUAGUUUUUUGGCCUCCCCUUUGUUACUAGGAAGCACUCCAUUCUGAAUGAACGCCAGUAUUGGUUGCCUCCAGUCCUCUUGAGGGUUGGAAGUGACAGCCAAUACUUGGCACGUGGGCUGGAGUAUAGAGUCCACUAAAAUCUCGCGCUGCCCUCCCUCCCAAGCUGACGCUAGACGUGCUAAAGCGUCAGCGGGUAAAUUUUGAAUUCGAGGGAUUUGCUUGAUUUUGAACUCGGCGAAUUGCUUAGUGAGAUCUACCAUUGCUUCCACAUACUUUGUUAUUUGUGGUUCCUUACAAGCAAAUUCACCAGUGGUUUGCCGAGCCACGAGCUGGGAGUCAGUGCGGAGCGUGACAUUCUCAGCGCCGAGAGUUAUCAGCAGCUUCAGGCCAUGUAUGGCUGCUUCAUAUUCUGCGACAUUGUUAGAAGCCGGGAAGUGAAGUCGGACCGAGUGUUCGUAGUUUUUUCCAUCCGGGCUAUGGAUUUUUACUCCGAUACCCGAGCCUGUGCUGCAACUCGAGCCGUCUACUUCCACAAUCCACGGUUGUGUCAAACUGGGCUGUGUGAGUUCGACAAUGAAAUCCGCUACAACUUGCCCCUUGAUGGCAGUGGCUGGUCGGAAGUCCAAGUCGAACUCACUGAGUUCAAUUGCCCAUUUGGUUAACCUUCCCGAGAUGUCGGGUUUGUGAAGUAGACAACGUAGAGGACACGAUGUUAGUAUAACAAUCGUGUGCGCUAAGAAGUAGGCUCGAAAGCGACGACAAGCGUGGAUUACUGCGAAUACGAUCUUCUCGAUGGGAGAAUAUCGCAGUUCAGCACCUUGUAGUCGCCUCGAGUGGUAGUAGAUAGGGACAUGUUCCUUGUCCCUUUGCGCGAUGAGGACUGCACUCACGGCCUCUUCUGAGGCCUCUAUGUAUAAGUAUAGGUCCUCUCCCUUUUUGGGUGAUGUCAGCAUCGGGAGUGAGGACAUGUGCGUCUUUAGUUUCGCAAAUGCCUCCUCGCAUUCUGGUGUCCAAGUGAUACUACCCUUAGCCGCAGUUUUCAGCAAUUAGAAGAACGGUUUGCACUUGUCAGCCGUUUGCGAUAUGAAACGACUGAGCGCAUUGAUUCGACCGUUCAACCUUUGCACUUCUCGGAUUGUACGGGGGGCUUCCAUAUCAAGGAUAGCUUGGAUUUUGUCGGGAUUAGGUUUGAUCCCGUGCUGACCUACAUAGAAACCAAGGAACUUGCCUUCCUUGAUUCCAAAUACGCACUUGGCUGGGUUGAGCUUCAUUCCAUAUUGCUUCAAUGUCUCAAGGGUUUCUUUCAGAUCCUCAGGGUGCUUUUCCAUGCUUGACGACUUGACUAGGAUGUCAUCGACGUAAGCGGAAACGUUGCGCCCGAUCUGGUUUGCAAAAACCUUGUCCAUUAAGCGUUGAAAUGUAGCCCCAGCAUUCCUUAAGCUGAAUGGCAUUACCCUAUAACAGAAAGUCCCUGAGUCCGUGAUGAAGGAUGUUUUUUCCUCAUCAGGCUCAUGCAUCAGGAUUUGAUUGUAUCCUGAGUGGGCAUCCAUCAUAGAGAGGAGCUCGUUACCGGAUGCUCCAUCGACUAGUUCGUCGAUGGAUGGCAACGGGUAACUGUCCUUGGGGCAUGCUUUAUUGAGAUCCGUGAAAUCAAUGCACAUGCGCCAUUUGCCAUUGGGCUUCUUGAUCAGAACGGGGUUGGCCAACCAAGUCGGGUAUCGAACUUCCCGAAUGUGCCCUGCAUUCAAGAGUUUCGAUAUUUUCUCAUUGGCUGCCUCCCGCCUGUCAGAAGUGAGUACUCGACGUUUUUGGCGUCGAGCUGGAAUGGAUGAGUCGACAUUCAGUUUGUGUGUCACGAUCUGACGCGCAAUCUGUGUCGGUGCCUCACCCUCCCAAACGAACCUGUCCUGGUGCUCCUCCAGGACAGUCACAAGCUUGGCUUUUAGGUCAGGGGGUAACCCCUUCCCUAGUGCCACAUGUCCCCCCACCAGCUGGUAUACCUCGGUCUCGUCCACAGGUUGUAAUUUUUCCCUCUCCUCAGUGUUAGGCGAGGCGUGGACGAGCAUGUUUUCGAGUUUUGUCAGCUGAGUUGCCUUCUUAUACCCUUGUCUAGAAUCUUUUUGUGAUCCUUUGACAGUUGCAACGAACCCGUUUACUGGGUAUCGAAUGCAUUGGUGAUAAGAAGACGGGACUGCUUGGAUUCCAUGGAUGAAGGGGCGUCCGAAAAUGCCAUGGAAAGUAGAUUCUACCUCCACUACUAUGAAGCGGCAUGUUCGGCUAACCCUUCCUCGCUUGGAACCGAUGGAUACCUUCAGGUCAAUAACACCGGCCACUGGGGCGGCGAUGUUAGUGAAACCGUAGAUGGCUUCCUUACAGGGGGAUAGUUCCUCCCUUUUAAGGCCCAUCUUGGUAAAAGUAUCCAUGUAGAGGAUAUCCGCAGAGCUACCGCUGUCGACAAUCAUCCUCUCGACUCGGGAAUUAGGACCGAUGUCUGCUUGGAUCACGAGUGGAUCCUCGUGAGGUUGCAAGACAUCGUCCAGGUCCUCUUCGAAGAAGUAUAUUGACUUCUCCUCGCGGACCCUCUUUCCGUUGUCUCGAGGUGUUGAUUGUUACAUCAGCACCUUUCGGGAGUACCCCUAUUCUGGCCAACGGAUCCACCACCAAAUAUCAUAUUGAUGGUCUUCCGCUGGCGGUUCUCGCUGUUGUCGCUAUCUGGCGAAGGAGAGCGUGGACGCUUCCCCUUUGGGUCAGAUUUGCAGUUGUCCCUUCCUCGGGAUUUCUUGACGAAGUUGCCAAGUUCACCCUUAGAGAUCAGCUGCUCGACGAAGGUCGAGAAAUCCCUACAGUGGUCUGUCAAGUGGCCGCAGUCUUUGUGAAAUUCACAGUAUUUCCCAGAUUGCGUGCGGCCCUCUUUGCCUGCAGGGUCUAAAGAGCGAGGGACAGGUAGGUCCGCUCGACCCUUUAAUUUCUCAAACAGCUCGCCCUUGCUUAUUAUAAGCGGGGUGUUCCUUUUCCAUAGCGGAACUGCACCCUUAGACGGUUUGCUGGUUGAGGUCUGGUAUACCUUGUUAUCAUGCCUAGGCUUCCAUUCUUUUUUGGAAGGCUCGGCCUUGUUGCUGGUAUACCUGUUAGAGGUGUCGCGGAAAUUGUUGUUUCCGCUAAACCCCUUCCUCUCAUACUUAGGCUUUUUAUAGCUAGGAGUCCCAAGUUCAGCUAGCUUUUUCUCAUCCUCCUCUUCCACCUCAAUGUACAAUUGAGCGCGUUGGAAGAGGUCGGGCAGAGAACUCACCUUGUAGAGAGUCAGAUUUUGGGCCAGAGGGGAGUAGGGGACUAAUCCUCUAAUAUAUCCCGCUAUGGCCACACUCGGGAUUAGGUCGUUCACCUCUGUCAUCAUAGUGGUGAACUUGACCGUGUAAUCCCUCAGAGACAGUUUGUCCUGUCUCAGUGCCAGGAGUGCGUUGGCACUAUGCUUUAUCCUUAUCAUCCCCACGUGUUGGGCGAUGAAUUUGGAUGAGAGGUCUGCGAAGCUGGUGACUGAGCCAGCUGGCAGACCAGAGAACCAUCGAUAAGCGCUGCCCUUGAGAGUGCCGGGGAAUGCCCGACACAGCAGCCCAUCAUCGAUGGUUUGUGGUUCCAAGAUGUUGAGAUAGAGGUUCACGUGAUCUUCUGGAUCACUUGAACCGUCGUAGGCCUCGAUUCUUGGUACCCGCCAGUUGGGUGGGAAAACACCCUUUAAAAGGUCCUCGCUAAGAGGAGCACUUUUAACCCUCAGGACUUCGUGCGGGUUGCCGACAGCUGGGUCGGUGGCCAACUUCCGCCGAAGAUCCUCUACGAACCGAGUAGUAAGAGUCCUUUCAGAGCGACUCUUACUGGGUCCCGUCUUGGGACGGGAACUCUGUUUUUUCUCCGCAGAUGGAGAAUAUAUGGACCCAGAUUCAUCCGCUCUUUCGCGGAUGGUAGUGGUCCUAUGACUCCUCGCUUGCUCGAGGUUGGUCAUCCUUCUUUCAAUGUUGUCCAUGAAACUGAACAACCUUUCUUCCAAGGUGGGUGGAGCCUUAGGCACUAUGUGUUCCUCGACGAGAGGAGGAACCGAGUUUGUUUCCACAGGGUGAGCAUUGGGUCCCCUAGGUCGGGAUUGCUCACCCUGUUCCAGCUCAGUUGCUGGCAUUUUUCCCUUACUCCUUGUUGCGUAAGGGUGCUUCUGCUUUUCGAUGAUUGCCAUGAAAGCGGAAGCGAAGAAGUACCAAAGCAGAGAGGUACCUGACUGAGCCUGUUGGGAAAACAAGAGCGUUAAGUGUUAACUCGGCGAGUUAGGUGUAUUCCCGAACAAGGUCGUGGACAGCACUCUUAGAUAGCAGACGAUAUUCCGGAUCGGACGAUUCUCAAGGAUAAGUCGGCGAUUUAAGGCUAAAGCGGACCUUAACCGAGAAUCGGACGAUCUAAGUCGACAAUUUUUUGACAAACUCGGCGAGCUCUUGGGAGAGCUCGAGCCGGAUUUUUAAAAAAUCGCGAUUACGACGGGAUACCGGUGGUUCGUUAGUCCCACAGACGGCGCCAGCUGAUGAAGCACUGAAUCUGCUACCAGGGCCCGCGGUGGUGCGAGGUUGAUGCUGGAGGCUUUGGAGUCCAUGACGCACGCUCUACGUCAAAAUACCUGCAAGUGGAAACUAGGCGAUUCUAAUGAGACUCGCCGAGUUUCGUAGUAGUGCUCUGGUGUGAGAGUGGAACUUGAAUCGUGCCUUUGAGUGUCCCCUUGGGACCGACCUUUUAUAGGGUCUCGGAGGGCGCACUCAUCGGCGGAGAUCGCGCCUAUGGUCAUAUAUGGUAACAUUUAUGACGUUGGCUGCCGCCGAGUAACGGUCGUAAGUCGCCGAUUCAGGUAUGGAAGUCGCCUAGUUAAGGGCUAACUCGGCGAGUUUCUAGGGCCAAGUCGUACAGUCUACCAUACUGCCGAUCUUGCCUUAACUCGGCGAGUUAUCCUGUCUGUCGGCGACUUGGUAGUCCAAUCGGGCGACUUACGGGCUAACUCGGCGAUCUGGACGAAGAACGAUGUUCCGCACCGUGGGAGCUCUCCGGGGGUCCUGCCUUAGCGACGGAGCCCUAGUCCUUGUUGAGAGGCGUUGAUGGGUAGUGACUGGUGUAAUCAGGCAUGUCUCACCAAUACUCCCCCCAGAAAUUCGACGAUCUCUGGCCGACGCGAUAGAAAUGUCGGGAGAGCUUGUGAUACUCCCCCCAGAAAUUCGACGAUCUCCAGCCGAAGCGAUAGAAAUGUCGAGAGAGCUUGUGAUACUCCCCCCAGAAAUUCGACGAUCUCCAGCCAAAGCGAUGGAAAUAUCGGGAGAGCUUGUGAUACUCCCCCUUGAAAUAUGACGAUUUCUGGCCGGAGCGACAGAAAUGUCGGGAGAGCUUGUGAUACUCCCCCUUUAAAACCUGCAUAAAAAUGUGUUCUGGCUGAAGUGGUAGGAGUGUCGGAGAGAGUUUGUGAUACUCCCCCAAAUUGGGACAACUUCUGGCCGAAGCGACAGAAGUGUCAUGGAGAGUUUGUGAUACUCCCCUUGGAAUGAGACUACUUUUAGCCAAAACGACAGAAGUGUUGAUGAGAGUUUAUGAUACUCUCCUCCAAAGAUGGGCGAGACGACUUCUGGCUAGAUUGACAGAAGCGUCGGAGAGAGUUUGUGAUACUCCCCCUGAAAUCGUGCCGUUGUGACAGAUUGUAGAGUUAUGCUUUGGAUGUUUGUGCCCAAGGCGAUAGAAGUAUUGAGGAGAGCUUGUGAUACUCCCCUCGAAAAUCAUGUGAACCCGAAAAUAUUGGUGUAACGGAGGUAUUGGAAGGAGUUUGUGAUACUCCCCCCGAGAAUCAUGUCGUCGUGACAUAUGAAAUGACUUUUCAGAAUAUUUUGCAAUCUUUCUAUUUUGAUUAUCAAUGAACUAUCAUUUGUCUUUUCUUUGCCAAUCUUCUAUAUAAACCACCUUUAAAUUGUAACCUAGGCUCGAAACUAGAUUCACAAGCCGUAACUUAUCCACUCUGGACGUAAGUUAGACUCUGCUAACCCUCGCUUAGCCACUCUGGACGUAAACUUGGUCGUACGAAUCGUAGUUCAGUCGUCAGUUAAAUUAGCGGAUAAUUUAUAUCUCCAAAUUAACGCAGAGCUGCAAAGAAUAGUACAAAUAAACCAAAAAUUAAGAUGCACAAUAUUAUUUGGAAUCCUAGGGUUGGAUCCGCAAUUUAGGACUACAAUUUUAGAUUUGAACCCUGGUGCUUUAGUCAAGCUUCGGCCAUAGCGAUAGAGUGACUCUCCAUCAAGGCCAUAGCGACAAGAUGGGAUAUAAUCAUUAAGGCCACAGCGACAAAAUUGACACUAGGGUACCAUUAAUUGUAGUCGCAAAUAUUUAGAAUCACAUGAUUUGAUUCGUAAAUCGGAGUCGUAAUUUAGAUUUUUAAGUCGCACCUAGGACUUGUAAAUCGUAAACUUGACUUGUAAUCGUAAUUUAGACUCUUUGUCGUAAAUUAGAUUUUGUAAUCAUCAUUUAGACUCGUGGGUCGAAGCUAGAUCUGAGUAACGGGUGUCAUCCAGCCAAAGCGAUGGAUUGAUCCCUAUGAGAUUAUCCCUUGUUGGUUUGCCGUAUUGAUCCUAGAACCGUAACGUAGGCUCGAAACUGGACUCGUAAAUCGUAAUUUAGACUCUUUGUCGUAAAUUAGAUUUUGAAAGAGAACUUAGAUUCGUAAAUAUUUGGAAUCUUAGGGUUUGAUUCGCAAAUAUUCGUGAGAGUCGUAAUUUAGAUUCUUAAGUCCCAUCUUGACUCGUAAAUCGUAAACUAGACUUGUAAUCGUAAUUUAGACUCUUUGUCGUAAAUUAGAUUUCGUAACUAUCACCUUGACUCGUGGGUCGAAUGGAUGAUAGAUAAGGUCGAAGCGACGGAUGUCACCCAGCCGAAGCGAUGGGUGAUUGAUCCGUCUGAAGUGAUGAAUGAUUAUUCUAAAUGUGGCAUACAUACCGCGUAAUACCUUCACGGGUUAAAGGAGACAUCUACUUAGAAUAAAAUCGUUGUUACAUGGUUGAGAACAAUAGAAGCGACAACCAAAAGAAUAGAUGAGUUUCUGAUGUUUGGUUGCCACUGACGGAUAUAUAGCCUAUUUAGUUACUCUGGCUAAUCCUAUCUUUCUUCUGACAGAUGAUAGUUACCCACUAUUAGCGUGACGCACUUGGUUGUGAGUGUGAACUGUGGCUUUGGUUGUCAUCACUGUCAUAGGAUUGAGAGCGUAAGCUAUGGCUUUGGUGGCCAUAACUGUUACCAGACUGAGAGUGUGAGUUAUGACUUUGGUGGCCAUAACUGCUAUUGGAUUUAGGGUGUGAGCUAUGACUCUGGUGGCCAUAACUGCUACCCGGAGACUCCUCGAUGUAUCGAAGAUGAGUAGUCGAGGUUUCGGAUUGGGAACUUGUAUCCUCGUACGCAUCUUCUUUAGCAUAGCGAGGUUUCUUCCGGCUGGACGGCUCGAGUUCGUCCAGCUUGUCAUUGUUCUCCUCUUCUAUCUCAAUAUACGAUUGAGCUUGUUGGAAGAGGUCGAGCAGGGUCUCCACUUUAUGGAGCAUCAGAUUCCGGGCCAAAGGGGAGAAGGGUACCAACCCUCUCACGUAUCCUGCUAUGGCCAGACUUGGGAUUAGGUCGUUCACUUCUGUCAUCAUCGAAGUGAACUUAAUCGUGUAAUCCCUCAGAGACAGCUUGUUCUGUCGUAGUGUCAGUAGUGCGUUGGCACUGUCAUUUAUUCUGAUCAUCCCCACAUGUUGGGCGAUAAACUUGGAAGAGAGGUCCGUCAAGCUGGAGACUGAGCCAACCGACAGACUGGAAAACCAUCGAUAUGCGUUGCCUUUCAGAGUGCCAGGGAAGGCCCGACACAACAACCCAUUAUCGGUAGUUUGCAGCUCCAAGAUAUUCAGGUAGAGGUUAACAUGAUCCUCAGGAUCUGUCGUUCCAUCGUACGAGUCUAUCUUCGGACACCGCCAAGAUUGCGGAAAAGGUUUUCUCAGGAGGUCCCUAUGAAAGGGUGCCCUUCCUAUUCUGAGAAAAUCAUGUGGGUCCCUUAGAUCAUACUUGUCUUUGCGAAGCACUUCCUUGAUUACCCUAUUCAUGAGUGUGGCAUCGUAAUCCGCACGAGUCGUGGAACUCGAAGGUACACCUGAGUGAUGUACUGCGGACCUGUGGUGAGAACCGAGAUGCUUGUGUCUUUUUGUUUCACCGUGGUUGUCUCUCAUAGGAGAGUGAUGCGAGUUGGAUUUGGGUUGCCCUGAGAUUGCAGGACUCUUUCCCUUGAGCUCUAGAAGCUCCUUGGAUAUCCUUGAUUCGGACCGAUGAUGCGUACUUAAGUUUGUCUUCCUCAAAUGUGGGUUAGACUUGCUUGUCGUACAUCGUAUGGUGGUCCGGCUCCUUGAAGCCUCUAGGUUGGUUAUCCUUUUGUCCAACUUCAACAUGAGAGCAUGCAUGUGCGCAAGCCUUUCCUGUGUUGUCGGAGUUGGGUUCACACCCCCAUUUAGUGGGAGUGGUGAGGACACCUCAUAUGUAGGUGAUGGUGCAUUAGAGGUUGGUACAGUACGAUGACCAACCCUUCUGCUAGAAGCUCCUACCGUAGUAGAAGUGGCGAGAGCUUUCUUCUGACCUUUAGCAACAGGAUCCAUAAAUAGCCGGGAUGGUUGCUUCUACUGGGCUGAAGCAACGGGCAACGAGUAGAAGUUCUGUCGGAAGCUAUGGGUAGGUACCUGUCCCCCCCGGGUGCCUCAAAACAGAAAAAAAUUUGUAUGAUAUUUCUUUGCAGUUUUGUGACCCCCUUGAGGAGUACUAUUAGUCUCCAAAGUUUGAAAUUAGCAAAAAAUAUCGCAAUUUUUUUGCAAUUUUUCUGCAGAAAAUCGUGCUGCCGGAGGUGGUUUUCGGGAUGCCUGCUUAGACCUAUCCCAGAAAAGAUUCCUUGCACUGUUGGGAAAUUCUGCUCUUCUGUACUCGUAGAGAAAACUUUUUUCACGUGAAGUGUGGUCGUAGAAUUUCAAAAUCAGAUCUGGGUAUUCCAGAGGUGGACCGACAAAAUCACUGGAAGUAAAAAAAGGUAAAAAGCCCUAUAAUCUUUUUUUUUUUACCGAAACGACGAGGCGUAUCCAACCGUGGCGAUGGAUUUUCGUUUUGGUAAAAGAGCUGGGCUAUGAGUGGUCUUAUUCAGCCAAAGCGAUGAAUGAAGACGAUGAUCGAAUGGACGAGUUUGCCCCUAGAUAGGCGAGUUUGCCUUUAGAUAGGCGAGUUUGCCUUUAGAUAGGCGAGUUUGCCCUAGAUAGGCGAGUUUGCCCUUAGAUAGGCGAUUUUUGCUUGGGAAAAAUUCAACCUAUGCGAAGACGUAAGUUCCAAAGCAAAGGAUGACUUAACCGAGCUUGUUCAAAAAACAAAGAAAUAAGUCGGCGAGUUAGGGGAAAACUCGGCGACUUUAGAUUUCGAGGUGUUUUUCGAACAAAGUCGUGGACAACACUCUUAGCUAGCAGACGAUAUUCCGGAUCGGGCGAUUCUCAAGGCUAUGUCGGCGAUUUAAGAAUAAAUCGGACCUGAGCCGAGAAUCGGCUAUCGAUCUAAAUCGGCGACUUAGUUGACAAAGUCGGCGAACCCUCGGGGAGAGCUCGAGCCGGAAUUAGCAAAAAAUCGCGAUUACGACGGGAUACCGGUGGUUCGGUAGUCCCACAGACGGCGCCAGCUGAUGAAGCACUGAAUUUGCUACCAGGGCUCGCGGUGGUGCGAGGUGAUGCCGGAGGCUCUGGAGUCCACGACGCGCGCUCUACGUCAAAUACCUGCAAGUAGAAACUAGGCGAUUCUAGUGAGACUCGCCGAGUUUCUUAGUGAUGCUCUGGUGAGAGUGGAACUUGUGUUGUGCCUUUGAGUGUCCCCUUGGGAUCCUUUUUAUAGGGUCUCGGAGGGCGCAUUCGAAGGCGGAGAUCGCGCCUAUGGUCAUAUAUGGUAACAUUUAUGACGUUGGCUGUCGCCGAGUAACGGUCGUAAGUCGGCGAUUCAGGUAUGGAAGUCGCCUAGUUAAGGCUAACUCGUCGAGUUUCCAGGGGCAAGAUGUGCAGUCUACCAUACUGCCGAUCUUGGCCCUAACUCAACGACUUAUCCUUUAUGUCGGCGACUUGGUAGUCCAAUCGGCGACUUACGGGCUAACUCGGCGAUCUGGACGAUGAACGUGUUCCGCACCGUGGGAGCUCUCCGGGGUUCCGGCCAAAGCGACGGAACCCUAGUCCUUGUUGAAAGGCGUUGCUGGGAGUGACUGCCGUAAUCAGGCAUGUCUCACCAAUGUGGUUGCAUUAUUUUUUGAAUGAUCUGCAGGUAAAACCAUCAGGACAAACAAUGUUACAUUGUGACAAUAUAGCUGCAAUCCACAUUGCAACAAAUCCAGUUUUUCAUGAACGUACAAAACACAUAGAGAUUGACUGCUACCUAAUUCGUGAUCAUCUUCAAGCUGGAUUAUUUAAACUACAACAUGUCUCAACAACAUCACAAAUUGCAGACAUCUUAACAAAACCAACAAGCCUUGAAGCACUACGCAAUCUACUACCCAAGCUGGGAUUAUAUGAUAUACACUCUCCAGCUUGAGGGGGGGGGUAUUGAGAUAUUAAGAUAGUUUAAGGUUUAUUAUCAAGUUUAAUUCAAAUUAAGUUAAGUGAGGCCCAACUCGGAUGUUGGCCCAAUAGAUAGUUAGGGUUUAGUAUAAAUAGUUAAGUUGUAAUAUUUUAUUGAUUACUUUUUCAAAUACAAAAACAAACCCUUUGGGUUCUCUCCCAAACGACUCUUUGUCUCUCCCUGACGACUCCUUCGUCCAAACCCUAACGGCGACUCCGGUCUCACGCUCCACUCCGGUCUUACAUCUUCUUCAUGGAGUACUGAUAGUUAGAUAGUUAAUGGAGGUUGUUAGUAUAUUGUAUAAUAAUAUAAAUAGAACUAUAAUGAUAUACAAUCAAGGUAUUCGAUCAAGGGUGAAGGUAGCACCAUCACUCCACGUUUUGUGAUCUUGAGUUCUUGACUUCUCGAUAGGUACCGCAACAACUUCUUUAGUGCCGCCCAAUGACCGGCUGUAGGUGCGUUCAGAAAUUGAGAAAGUUUUGUUCACCGCAUACUGGGUAUCGGGUCAGGUCAAUGUCAGAUAUUGCAACGAUCCGACCACCCGUCUGUAUUUUGUAGCAUCUGGUUCUUCAUCGUUAUUUGCCGGAAAAUCCCCACGUGCUAGCAUUGGAGUCACUGAUGCUUUCACGUUCGUCAUCUCACAACUUACCAAUAGAUUCGUUAAAUAUUGUUGUUGGGACAGCUUUAUCUCGUUUUCCGAUUUUUAUACAUGGAUGCCUAGAAAGAACUUAACUUCGCCAGUUCUCUAAUUGCGAAACUCUUCUCCUAUCUUCUUGAUUAUUGAGUUUAUUAUUUCUGGCGAUGGACCUGUUACAACAAUAUCGUCAACAUAUGUAAAGAGAUAAACCAAUUCACCUUCAACAUCGUAAAUGAACAAUGACGAGUCUGAAUAACUCUCUUUAAAUUUGAGCCGAAUCAAGAAAUCUCGCAAUCUCCGGUACCACAUCCUCGGAGAUUGCUUCAACCCGUAUAAUGAUUUCUGUAAUAAGCACACAUGGUUUGAAAACUCAGUAUUUUCAAACCCCACUGGUUGUGUUGCGAUGAUUCGUUCUUCUAGAUUCCCAUGUAAAAACGCGUUUGAUACGUCAAUUUGUUUUAAUUCUCAAUUUCUUGAAAUCGCGAUUGUCAAAACUAUUCUGAUCGAAUUUGCUUUUACUACCGGGUUGAAUGUUUGAUUAUAAUCGCAACCUUCUGUCGUAAUCCGUUUGCCACCCAUCUUGCCUUAAACCUUUGAACUGAUCCAUCCUCAGCUUGUUUAAUUUUAAACACCCACUUGGUGUUGAUGAUCCUAUCUUGUUUCGUUCGUGGAAUAAGUUUCCAAGUGCGAUUUCUGAUGAGUGCGUCAAAUUCUUCUUGCAUGGAUGCCUUCCAUUCUGGCUGCUCUAGUGCGUAUUUUGCCGACUUUGGGAUUUGAAUUGGCGUUGUUGAGGCAAUGAGUCCAUACCUUAGAUUUGGUUUGAAUAUGCCUCGUGGUGCUUGUGUGACCGGUCUCUCUUUCUCCGGCGGUUCUUGUCCGGUGCCCGUGUCACUUGUAUCGAUCUGUUGCUGACUCGCUUCAUCUCUUUCAUUACUUUCGGGUUGGGAGUCGUUGGGAAUCUGGAUCUCGGAUUCUAUCCUCGAGUCUCGUUGGUUUGAUGUUGGAUCCUGAUUUCUUGAGUCCGUUCCUCUCUCUUAAAUUUUGAUCAUGCAUUUCAUUUGUUUGGAUUUGAAUUUUAUUUUUGUGGCCCGUCUCCAAUAUCCCCAUGUCGGUGUCGAUAUUUUUAUUUCCGGACUCGUUGUUUUGUAUUUUUUCUUGCCAUGCCACAACUUUUUGUUUAGAGUGAAGUCAUCUUCUAUGAACCUCACGUUCUUGGAGAUAUAUAUUUUUCGUUCCUUUGGACUAUAACAAAGAUAUCUGUCAUGUUGUUGUGGAUAACCAAUGAACACUACACAAGCAAUAGAUUUAUUAUCCAAUUUAUUUCGUCUUUGAUGUCGUAAAUAUGGAUAACACCUACUCCCGAAUAUUCUGAGUUUAUUGUAAUCUGGAGCACGUCCAAACAAUGCUUCUGAUGGCGAAAUCCCUUGAAGUAUCCUUGUUGGAUUCUGAUUGUAAAGAGUUGCUGCUGCGAGUACGGCAUAACUCCAGAAUCUGUUCAGCAUAUUUGCAUAGUGUAGCAUGGUAAGGACUGUAUCAACAAGAUGCCUGUGAUAUCUUUCCACCGAUCCCAUUGAGGGUGAUCAUAUGGACACGAUAAACGAUGUGUAAUUCCAGAUUGUUCCAGAAUUUUUGUUAAUGCCACAUAUUCUUUUGCAUUAUCGGUUUGAACGGACUUAAUCUCGUAAUCAGUUUGUUUUUUUAUCAAUAUCUUGAACUUCUAAAAUAUGUCGGUAACAUCAGAUUUCAUUCUUAAUGGAAAUACCCAUUUGAAAUUUGCUACCGCAUCUACGAAGUUUAUAUAAUAUUUAUAACUUUCAAUAGACUCUACUGGUGCCGGUCCUCAGAUAUCUGAAAAUAUAAGUCGCAAAGGAAAAUACGUAGUAGUACUAUUCUUGCGAGGUAAAUUGUGACUUUUGCACCAAACAAGAAUCACAUUUAGCAAUGUUCGUACAGUUUGCAUUAUUAGGUAAUUGAGAUUCAUUAACUAAUUUUUUAAUUGCUCUUUCGAGUAAGUGUCCCAAUCUAGCAUGCCAUAAGCUUCCUUCUUGUUUUUCAGCUAUCAACGCCUGUUGAUCAUUAUUCAUGCUCAGCUUCAUCUUGUAUAAGCCUCCUACAACAUCUCCCUCAGUUAGACAUUCAUCAGUAUCUAGAUCGUAAAUUCUCACCUUCUGUUUGUCAAAUUUCACAUACACUUUAUUUUCAGAACAUAAUUGAUGAAUGGAUAACAAAUUUCUCGAUGCUUUCGGUACUAGAAGGAUCUCUUUUAGAAUUAAAUUUGACGCGACCAAUUUACCCACUUUUUGAAUUUUCAUCUCACCUCCGUUAGCCGUAUAAACCGACUCAUUACCUGAAUAAUUGACAAAUUUACCUAAUGAGUUACCUGCAUUUGUAAUACUCGCCCCCGUAUCUGGGUACCAGACGGUAUGUACGAGACCUGAUGUUAAAUUUGCCACGUAACCCGGAUUAUUUGUAGUAGUUGACGUAUUUAAUCCAGUUGGAAUAAGACGUCGAGAAUGCGAUAAGGCUGGAAAUCUUGUGAAGUUCACCCGAUGGUAGCAAUAUCUUGCUCCGUGUCCUUUCUUUAAGCAAAUUUGACACGGAGACUUCUCUUUGCGAUCAUCAUAUCAUGCUUUAGUGGCCGCAUUUGCUUCGAUCUUUAAUAUUGUUGGUGAGAAUUGCAGGUCGUGGUCCAUUAGUAGUUGCUUCAAUCGUGAGAAUGUCAAGGUGGGAUCCAUUCUAGUUGUAACCGAUGUUACAAACGGCUGGUACUCUAGCCCCAAACCGCCCAAGGCUAUGAGAAUGAUUUGAGAGUCUUUUAUCUUUUCUCCGGUCGCUGCCAACUUAUCUUUGGCAAUCGUUAUCUUUUUCAAAAAUUCAGUCAUGGACAUACCUUCUUUCUUGAUAUUUUGGAGCUAAAAACGGAGAUGAAUUAGUCACGUUUGGACUCGGACGCGAACAUCUCAUUAAAGUGUCAUCUCAACAAAAGUCAACAGUAAAAGUCAACAAUCAAGCUUCCAAAGUUCCUCAAGUUUCUCAUUUUGUUUGAGAGGAUUGUUUUAAAAUCAGUACUAAAGUAUAAGAAAAAGUUUUAAUUUGAGUUUAACUAAAAAACUUAAGGUUCAAUUUUAUAAAGUUUUUUCAAAAAACUUUUAGUUGUUAAAUCUAUCUUAAAAACAUGAUGAUAACUGCAAGUUUACUUUAAAAUUUGAAAAUUUCGUGAACGAUUGUAUAUAGUUAGAUGUAACAGUUCAAUUAGAACUAGACACUGUUAUCAAAAGACUCCAGGAUGACCAGGGAUUAUCAGAGCAGGAAGAGGUGACCACUAUUGAAGCCACUACUGAAGCACGACCAAACAAUUUUAAUCAACUUCUGUUUUCCCCAACUCCGACUCCCUAGGGAGAAUUCUUUUCCAAACCUCCGACUCCCCAAUUGGGAGAAUUCCGUUCACGCCCUGCAACGGCGACGAAUGUAACAUUGGUGCUUUUUCAACGAGAGUUGAACGAUCUUCGGAACUGACCAAAAGAUCACAAGUCGAAGAUAACUAUAAAAAUUGAAAAUUUAGCAGGGCUUGUUCCAGGCCUGAACUGGACUAGAACAGGGAAGCAAGAUUCUUGAUUUCGUAAAUUCGAGUUAUAAAUUUUGAUUGAAUUGUUUUGAAUGACAGAAGCAGGUGAGACAAACGAUUCGCUCGAAGACAUUCGUGAGAAGCUGGGGAAGGUAGUAACGGACCAAUCUGCACGGCUAUCCAGAUCGACAAGAUUCGGCCAUCGCCAAUAUCUAAGACAAGAUUGGGAACCUGGCGAUGAUGAUGAAGGAAAUACAUGCCUCAAUGGGAUUGGUACAAAGUCCGGACGGCUCAGGGUAAAAGACAUCUAAACAAAUCAAAUUAGAUCUGCCAAAAUUUUCUGGAAUUAGACGGGUGGAUUUUUCAAGCGGAGGAAUACUUCGCGUUUCACGGAAUUUCAGAUGACUCAAGAAUCCAGAUCGUCGAAUUCCAUAUGACGAAGGCUGCUCUAAGUUGGAUGCGCGGGCUUAGACAAAACAAACUAUUAACGACAUGGGAGAAAUUUACGGAGGACCUCCGGAAAAGAUUUGAGGGAUCAGUAUACGUCGACAAACUACAAGAACUGUCCCGACUGCAAUAAACUUCAUCCGUUGCGAUUUAUCUAAAACAAUUUGAGGAGUUAUUAAACGGCGUAUUAGGACAAUCGGAGGCAGCCCUGAUCAGUUUUUUUGUGGGAGGCUUGAAUCCGGAAUUGAUGGGGGAACUCAAGAUUCGGGAACCAAUGUCACUGCGGAAGGCCUUCGCGUUGACUAAGGUGUAUGAGGAACAUCGAAGACUGGGCAAAGGCCGAGGUUUAACGUCAAGUACGGUGGCAACAGAACCAUUGAUCAAAACAGUACUAGUGGGGGCCAGAGGAGUUCCGAUCGUGAGGAAAAUGUUAACUAUUGAAGAGUGCAAGGAACGCACGGCCAAGGACCUGUGUUUCAAUUGCGAUGAGUCCUAUUCACCCGGUCACAGAUGUAAGGGACUCCUAAAUCGAAUGGACGUGGAGCGAGAUUGUUUGGUAGAGCUGGUCGAGCAACACGACGCAGAGGAAACCGGAGACACAGCGGAAGAUUCAAUAACUACCACAGAGAUCAGUCUUCAUGCGUUUUCUGGAACAUUCAAUCCAAGGACGUCUGCGAGGUUUGAUACAGGGGAGGCCGCUAGCAGUAUUGAUCGACAGCGAGAGCACACAUAAUUUUAUCCAAGAAGAGGUAGCGAAUCUGCUAGGUAAGCCUGUAUAUCGGUCGGAUUCGGAUCGGAUAUGCAGGUAUCCGAAUUCGAAUAAUUAUCCGGAUAUCCGAAUCCGACCGAAUAAAAUCCGGAUUUGAAAAUUUGAAUUUGAAUUCGAAUCCGGAUAAUCCGAAUCCAAAUAAUAUCUGAAUCCAAAUAACUUUAGGGUUAGUAUUAGGAUUAGGGUUAGGAUUUAAUAAUUAUAAGUUAAUAAGUUAUAAAGCUUUAUAAUUAAUUAAAUAUAACUUAGGUAAUUAGGUUUAAGACUUUAAGUGUUUAAUGAUUUAUAAUAUAAAUAUAUAAUAUAAUAAUAUUAAUUUAUUAUAUAUUUAUCCGGAUAUCCGAAUCCGAAUAUCUGAAUCUGAAAUUUUUAAACGAAUUCGGAUUUUAUCGGUGGAUUUUCCGGAUAUCUGAAUCCGACCGAAUAAAAUCCGGAUUUCAAUUCAGGUAUCCGAAAAAUCCGAAUCCGGAUAGUCAUAUUCAAAUUCUGGUAUACCAUUUACAGGCUUACGGCUAGGAUUAAAGAUGCAGGAGCUGCCGGCGUUUAAAGUGUUCAUAGGGAGUGGAGAGUACCUGGUAUGCAAGGAGGUGUGUCGGUAGGUUUCGAUUUCCAUCUAAAACACGGCCAUCGUCGAAGACCUGUUUGUUCUGGCCAUGGGAGGAGCAAACAUGGUUCUGGGAAUUCAAUGGUUGGGUAAAUUGAGACCGGUUACGACCGACCAUAAAGAAUUAAGCAUGGAGUUUUGGGAUGGAGCACGGAAGGUUCGACUACAAGGGGACCCCCAUCUGGCCGAUUCAGAGAUUUUAAAAUCGGGACUAAGGAGGCUAAUGGCAAAAGGUGAGAUCGGAUUCUUCUGUCAGUUAAGAUGUGAGGAGGAACGGAAGGAGAUCGAAGCAUGGCCAGAGCUGACCAAUGUAUUAAAAUAGUAUGAAGAUGUUUUAGCUGAACCUCAACAACUGCCACCGGACCGGCAAACCAAUCACCAGAUACUGCUACUUCCAGGCUCACAACCCAUCAAUGUUCACCCAUAUCAGAAGAAUGAAAUUGUAAGACUUAUACGGGAAAUGCUGAGCCAAGGCCUGAUUCAACAUAGUAUCAGUCCCUUCUCGUCGCCGGUUCUAGUAGUGAAAAAGAAAGAUGGAAGCUGGCGUUUUUGUGUCGACUACCGGGCGUUAAACGUAGUGACAGUCCGCGACAGAUUCCCAAUCCCUACUAUGGACGAACUAAUGGAUGAAUUACACGGAGCGGUGGUACCACUAGAUACGCAUCGCCGGAGCGGACAUUGAGAAGACCGCGUUUCGAACCCACCAGGGCAACUACGAGUUCACGGUCAUGCCCUUCGGCCUGUCGAAUGCCCCGGCCACCUUCCAAGCAACCAUAAAUCAAUUGUUAUAGCCCCUGUUACGGAAGUUUGUAAUCGUCUUCUUCGACGAUAUACUAGUAUACAGUAUAUCAUGGAAGUCACACAUCGAGCACUUAGGGGAGGUGUUCAAACUGUUUCGAGAAAAUAAAUUCUAUGUUCGGGAAUCGAAAUGUGCCUUCGGAUUGGAAGAAUUGGCGUACUUAGACCAUAUUAUAUCACCACAAGGAAUUCAGCAAGACCCUGACAAGAUUGAAGCUGUGGUAAAUUGGCCGCAACCGGCAACGGUAAAACAGACCAGAGCAUUCUUGGGUUUAACCGGAUAUUACAGAAAAUUUGUGGCUCAAUACGCCCAAAUUGCAAUCCUGCUCACUGACCUAUUGCGCAAGGACGGAUUCGUGUGGACUGAGGCAGCCACAGAAAGCAUUUGAGAAAUUGAAAUCGGCCUUAACGACGGCUCCGGUCCUGGUAUUUCCCGACUUUAGCCUACCUUUUGUGGUCGAAACUAACGCGUGCGAUGUUGGCAUUGGGGCCAUCCUACUUCAACGGGAACAUCCAUUGGCCUACUUCAGUCGGAAAUUAUCCAACCUACGGCAGCGUGCAUCCACUUACUCGAAAGAACACUGGGCACUAACGGAGGUCGUCCAUAAAUGGAGGCAUUACCUCCUGGGAAGCGAGUUUACCAUUCGGACUGAUCACGCCAGCCUCAAGAAUCUGCUCAGUCAAGUAAUUCAAUCCCCCGAGCAGUAAUACUUCCUCACACGGCUACUGGGAUUUUCAUUUAAUAUAGUCUACAGGAAGGGGAAAGAAAACGCAGCAGUCGAUGCGUUGUCAAGAUUGCCGAAGACGGAAGUGGAAACAGAAGGUAUCGAAUUAAAGAAACUAAUUAGCGAAGUGAUCACGGAUUGGGAAAAGCUAAUAGCGGCUGAGAACGAAUCAGACGAGUGGAUUCAGAAGUUAAAAGAAAAGAUUAAAACAGGAGAGGCGGAUAAAGAGUAUUCGGAGCAAAACGAAAUCGUGUACCAUCGGAAGCAAUUCUGUUUGGGACCAACAUCGCCUCUACGCACCAAAAUCCUGGAAGAAUUACACAGCUCACGGGUAGGGGGUCACUCUGGCUACUUCCGAACGCUUAAGCGAGUGCAACAGAUAUUCCACUGGAAGGGAAUGAAUUCGUUCAUCCACGAGUUCGUGUCCAACUGUUCAAUUUGCCAACAAGUAAAAUCGAUGGCCUUGAAACCCAUGGGACUCCUCCAACCUCUACCAAUUCCAGUAGCUAUCUGGGAAGAUAUAAGCAUGGACUUCGUAACGGGACUACCACCGGUAAAGGGGCUCUCAGUCAUAGUAGUGGUGGUCGAUGAACUCACCAAGUAUUGCCAUUUAGGGGCACUGUCAUCCAACUAUUCUGCCACAUUGGUUGCAGAUUAUUUCAUCAAACAGAUUGUGUGAUUGCACCGAGUGCCCAAGAUGACCGUGUCCGAUUGUGACAAGAUUUUCUUAAGUAAAUUUUGGAACGAAAUCUUCACGAAGAGCGGAACGACACUGAAGAUGUCCACCGCGUAUCACCCAAAAUCCGACGGACAGUCUGAAAUUGUUAACAAAAUCAUAGAGCAGUAUCUACAAGCUACGAUUCAGGACAACCCUUGGGAUUGGGUGGAUCUACUGCCAUGGGCUGAGCUCUGGUACAAUACAGCUUAUCAUCAUAACUUGGGAAUGUCACCCUUUCAAGCAGUCUACGGUAGGAUACCAUCGACGAUCAUUGACUAUCGGGAGGGGGAUUCCAAUGUGGAAGUAGUAGAUAAUCUGUUACGGCAGAGAGAUCAAUUACUACGGGAGUUGAAACUCAAUCUGCGCUCUGCACAGGAACGAAUGAAAAGGUAUGCAGAUCUAAAAUGCCGCCCUCACGAAUUCGAGGAGGGGAAUUGGGUCUGGCUGCGCUUACAGCCAUACCGGCAGAACUCCGUGAGCCACCGUACGUAUGUCAAGUUGGCCAAGCGAUACUACGGGCCGUUUAUGAUCGAACGCAAGAUAAGAGCGGUAGCAUAUCGACUCAAAUUACCAGAAGGGAGUAACAUUUUCCCAGUAUUCCAUAUUGCGCUAUUGAAACCAUUCGAGGGAGACAAACCGGAAACAACCAUCCCAUUGCCACCAUUAGCAACAGAGGGACACCUAAUUAUUUGCCCAUCCAAGGUAAAUGCGUACCGGAAAAUAAAACAAAGAGGAAAAAUCACUAAGCAAGUCUUAGUGAAAUGUGAAGGACUGUCAGCCGAAGAUCAUUCAAUGGAGGAUAUCAGUUCAGUCGAGAGAUUAAUGUCGAACGGAAAUCUUGAGGACAAGAUUACAUCGGAAGAGGGAAGGGAUGUAACAGUUCAAUUAGAACUAGACACUGUCAUCAAAAGACUCCAGGAUGACCUGGGAUUAUCAGAGCAGGAAGAGGUGGCCACUACUAAAGCACGACCAAACAAUUUUAACCAACUUCUGCUUUCCCCAACUCUGGCUCCCUAGGGAGAAUUCUUUUCCAAACCUCCGGCUCCCCAAUUGGGAGAGUUCCGUUCACGCCCUGCAACGACGACGAAUGUAACACUAGAGUUGAAAGUUUACAAGAGAUUCGUAAUUAAGCGAUUGUAACUAAUAGAUGAUUAUUUAAAUCCUUAGGGACUAAAGUAAAAAGUUACCAUCAUAAUAGAAUAUAAGCAUACAAAUGUAAGUAAAACAUACGCACUACAGUUCAAAGGUUGGACAUUUCUUCUUCAUCAACCUUUAGUCUUUGUGUGUGUGUGCAUCUAUCUUUUCUCUUUAAUCCUCAUCUCGACUUCUUCAACCUUCAUCGAUCAUGAAUUCCAACAUGGUAUCAGAGCUAUCGAGGUCCAUGAGCCUCAAUGACCUGGAGACCUUGAAUAGCAACCCCAACACUCUCCUCACCUCCCAAGUCCCAACCCAUCGCCCUAACCGCUACAACAACCAACACUUUAACACCCCUCGACCAAGACACAUCUCUAUUGUCCGAUGAUACCACCACCACCAAACUCCCAACAUCAACUCCUUGUUCCGUAUACCUAUGAACAAAAUAGAUUUUGUGUGCCCAACCCGGAAAAGGUGAACUGGUUCAAAGCUGAUCAACUUGUACUAACGGAUCAGAUCCACAGUAUCGGCCUCCGUGCAAACCAUGAUCUUGUACUGCAUAUCAGCCAAGGAAGCUUGACAACUACUGGAUAAAUUUUUAUCGUCAUUGUGUACCAUACACAUCAAAACAUUGUGUACAAAACUCCGAACAAUAAAGAAGCUGCCAUCGACAAGCAUGACUGACUUCCUCAUGGAUGUCAAAACAACGGUCAACGCUCUAUGUGCCGUCAGUUCCACCAUCCAAGAUGAGGAGGUCAUCAACUACAUUGUCGACGGACUCGACGUCGGCACCUACCGGAGCUUUCUCACUUACCUCUAGUUCCAUCCAACAACCACAUUUGACGAGCUGCACAGUCAUCUUCUUUUAGAGGAAGAUCUGAUGAAACGUUCCCAAGAACCAUCAACACCAACUCCGGUGGCAUUUGCUGCAACCCGAAAUAAUGAUGACAUAACUCCGGUGCAACAACAACCCAUGCAAAACCAACAGCAUAAAAAUCAAUACAACCGUGGGCGUGGAAGAAACAACUAUCGCAGACGCGAAUGUGGCUACCAUAGAGACAGAGGCUUCAAUCACUAUCCACAAUACAACCAACGGAACAACUCCUAUCAACAAUAUCGCGGCAACGUCCUCUAUCAACCACCGAAUCUGCAUGUACCGGAGUCCGUCAACCAUACAAACGUAUGUCAAAUUUGUAAUCGACCAAGACAUCUUGCUAAAACAUGUAGAGAACGCAACAAUCAUGCCUUCAUCGCCAAUAGUGUAACUGACAACAUGUUUGUCCUAUCACUUUAUAGUAGUGCACCAUGGUGUCUCGACUCAUGAUAUUUCAUCUCAUGCAAGCAAUUCCAGCCAUAGUAGUGCACCAUGGUGUCUCGACUCCGGCACGAAUCGUCUAUUUUUUUUUCUGCACGAUCUGUGCAACCAACAAAGCAAGAUGCCUCCCAUUUUCCCGACGUACUUACACAGCCACGACUCCUUUCGAAUUGGUUUACAUCGACUUAUGGGGUCCGUCACCGACAACGUCACGUGAAGGCUUCCGCUACUAUGCAUCCAUUGUCAACGAUUACUCUCCCUACUCACGGUUCAUACCACUUAGGCUUAAGAGUGAAUUUGUUAAACAUUUUAUAUGGUUUUGUAAUAUGAUUGAAAGAAGUUUCUCCAACUACCCACUCAAAUGUAUUCAAACUGAUGCUGGUGGAGAGUUCACCGGUGCAACAUUUAUCAAAUUUUUAGCUGACAAGGGAAUACGACGUCGUCUGUCGUGUCCGUAUACCCCCGAACAAAACGACAUCGUGGAACGUAAGCAUGGUCACAUAGCAAACGUUGGAAGAUGCUUUCUACACCAAGCAAAACUUUCAUUACACUUCUGGUUAGAUGCGUAUAGUAGUGCAACAUUUAUGAUAAAUCGAACGCCAUCAAACAAUACCCAAGGAAUGAGUCCAUAUGAGCUCCUCUACAACCGUUCACCAGACCUCAACCUCCUCAAAAUCUUCGGGUGUUAGUGCUUCCCGAUCAUCCCACGCAUACGACGUAACAAGUUAGAAAGUACAGCCACUAACAGUUGCUUCAUAGGCUACUCCAACCUACAUAAAGGCUAUAGAUGCUUGGACCUGAUAACAGGAGUGGUAGUUACGUCUCGUCAUGUCACCUUUAAUGAAGAAUGCUUCCCAUUUGCAACAACAACAUCAAUAAAGCCUUUCAUAAAUUCUGAGUAUAAUACAUCCCACUUCAAACAAGCGUCAUGCAACAUACUACGGCCAGCACUCCUUCCAACACCACAAACUGCAACAACAACCAUACUGCCAAUUGCAAAUCAUAGUAACUGUGACAGCAUGACCAACAAUAACACAUCUCUCCCAACGGCUAUAUCACUACCUCCAAACCAUGAUCCACCUGCUCCACAAUCCUACGAAUUUUCUGACCAAAUACCUGUUGGUGAUUCACAAGGUACAGAAACCAAACUACGUCGAUCUGAGCGCCAAACAUGCCUUCCUACUCAUCUUGAGGACUUCGAAGUCACGUUACCAUCUACCCAACCACAAACCUUAAUGGCUUCAAUGGUAACAGCCUACGAACAAAACCAAAUCCAAGCCACCAAACCAUGCAACUCACGUAACCAUCUCUCACGUAAAACAAAUCCUCACCAACUACCCCAUGCUCUCUUAGCACAAACAACCAAAAUCAUUGAACCUAAAACAGUCAAAAAUGCACUAACACAAGCAUGCUGGGUACGAGCGAUGAAGGAGGAACUACAAGCACUCGACCAAAACUCCACUUGGACAUAUUGGUCCCACGUCUACCAGGUAUGAAUGUUGUUGGUAGUCGCUGGAUUUUUAGAAUUAAACAACAUGCAGAUGGUUCACUAGAGCAAUACAAGGCUCGACUAAUAGCGAAAGGAUUCCAUCAAUGGGAGGGUCAGGACUACGACCUCACAUACUCUCCGAUAGUCAAGGCGUCAACAAUUCGCAUCGUUCUCUCGAUAUCAUUGGCACACGGGUGGAAAUUACACCACUUGGACGUAUGCAAUGCAUUUUUGAACGGGACACUCUCCAAAGAGGUAUACAUGGAACAACCAACUGGACAUCGUGACGCCUCUAGACCGAAACACGUCUGCAAACUUCAUCGAGCCUUUACGGUCUAAAACAAGCACCGCGAGCAUGGUAUGAUCGUCUUCGAUCCCUUCUUGAACAAUGUGGUUUUCAUAAUGCUGUGGCAGAUGCGUCACUUUUCGUACUACGAAUGAGAGAAACAACCAUCUACGUAUUAAUUUACGUAGAUGAUUUUAUCAUUACGGGAAACAGAGACGAUAAGGUAACGGCCUUCAUCAACACUGUGUGUAAACAUUUUAAAUGUCGCGAUCUGGGUCAACUUUCAUACUUUCUUGGACUUGAGAUGGAAUCAAAGAACGUAUGCACUGAAGUUACACGAAGAAAAUACUCACUUGAUUUACUGACAAGGUUUGGCCUCCUACAAUGCAAACCUAUGUCUACACCAGUUGCACCAGGUGGUCAACUAUCAUGUGAGAAGGGAAAAUUACUUGAAGAUCCCACACCUUAUCGCAGCAUGGUGGGUGCAUUACAAUACUUGACUAUUUCCCGUCCAGAUCUCGCUUUUGCUGUUAACCAAGUGUGCAAGUUCAUGCAUUCACCGACAGAUGUACAUCUCACUGCCGCAAAAAGGAUACUACGAUACGUUAAAGGUACACUAAAUAUUGGCCUCACAUUUCGUCCAUCUCCUUCCACAAAACUCACAGUUAUGGUCGACGCAGACUGUGUCGGUGACCUUGAUGACAGAAAAUCCACUACCGGAUCAUGUAUAUUUCUCGGUCCCAAUCUUGUAUCGUGGAUGUCGAAGAAACAAGCAACAAUUUCCCGAUCUAGCGCUGAAUCUGAAUAUCGAGCGAUCGCCUACGUAACAGCGGAGCUACGAUGGUUUUGUAGAUUACUUCGAGAUUUGGGAGUUCGGAUACCAGCACCACCAGAAAUACUCACAGAUAGUAGAUCAACAAUGUUUAUGGAGGCAAAUCCGGUUAUCCAAACCAAGUCGAGGCACAUCGAAACGGACUACCACUUCGUCCGUGAACUUGUCGCAUGGCGAGAUCUGAAGAUCAAUUACAUUAACAAAGAACAGCAAACGGCGGAUAUAUUUACAAAGGCCAUGUCCAACGAGUUAUUUUCCCGCCAUCGUCGUGGACUUUGCCGCCGGUGUCGAAGGGGGGUAAUAGAUAAUUAUUUAAAUCCUUAGGGGCUAAAAUAAAAGGUUACCAUUAUAAUAGUAUAUAAGCAUACAAAUGUAAGUAAAACAUACACACUACAGCUCAAAGCUUGGACAUUUCUUCUUCAUCAACCUCUAGUCUUUGUGUGUUGAUGGUACCCCCAAUCCAUCAGCCCAGGCCCACGCAGGAGUCCAGAAACAAGGCCCAGCAAAGUGAACAAAAGAGGAAGGCCCAAACCGCCUCACGGGUACUCGUCUGACCGGACGGAUCCAUUGGCCCGGACGGUUAUCUCUUCAAGGGUUGUGUCCCAAGUGUGUCAGGUCCUUUAGGCCGGAUCCUAGUCCGAGAACGGAGGGUCCAGAGUCCGGUAGGAAAUUGUAUAAAUACCCCUAGGGAUGAAGUGUAAAGGGGGGAGAACAAUUGUUACUAUAAUUAUAAUAUACAAGAUCAGUCACCAUUCCACAGGGAAACGAUCAAUGGUGAACCUGACGUAAACUGGAUUCGGAACAACCAGAGCGGAUAAUUCAGAUGGAGGAAAACCUAGGAAUCUCGGUGGCAGAAGCGCGCGAGAAUCAACUACCAGCAGUUCCCGUGGAAAAUCAAGUUACAGACGAACCGGCGCACUUGGAAGAGAAUAUUGAAGAAGCGCCCUAUCUUCAGAAGGAGUUAGAGAGUUACCGUUAAAAUCAGGCAUAUCGUCUAUGAAGGAAUUGAGAUUGGCCAUGGAAGAGGAUGCGGCGAUCAGCGGGAGAGGAACCCUAUCUCUGGUAAGAAAAAAAAGUGGAAAUAAGUGAAAGUGAAAGUAGAUUAUAUAUAGAAGAAUGUUGGCGGGAAAUUAAAAAUAUUCCUAAAAGAUAAAACUCCAUACCCAAGGGCCAGAUGGACCGCACGGAAGGGUAAGUAUAUUUCGGCCCAGGUGUUGUAGCCAGCCCGGAUACUUAAGGGAGGUGGAGCAAAAGGGCCGUAAGGAAGACACCUGAAGGGAGGCAACCAUAUAUAUAUAUAUAUAAAACUAUAGUCCCAUCGGAAUAGGCGUCACGAGACCCUGAGGAAAAAUGGUAGAGGGAAUACCUGCUCAAAUGGCACGUACGGGAAACAGACGUGGGGAACCAGGUAGCCAUAGGGCCCGAGGGAAAUAAUAGCAUAGUCGAAGUUUGAAGGGAGUUGCCAGACCCCUGAUCAACAAGUAGGUACAUUCGGCAAUAAAAAAAACUCCUUGAAGGAAAAAGAAACCGUUUUUUUUUUAAGAAGGGAAAAAAUAAAAGUAAAUUACAUCAGUGCGUAAGAUAAACACAAACGAGUUUGCAGGAAUCGUAGGAACAAUUGCAGGGGAACAAAAGAAACAUUCAAAUACGUAAAAAAAAAAGGGGAUACAAGGCCCUCCCCGUAAAAAGAACAUCAAAGAUGCCCGUCAGGGCGGGCCGCGGGAAAGGAAAUGGCGUAGGUCACUUGAAGGAAGGCCAGAACAUCCGGCACGUGGUCCGCGUCCCCAACGGCGACGAGCAGCAGGUGCUGUAGAACGCCCAGUUGAAGACAGCUCAGUAGCGGCAGUUGCACGGACCCCAUUGGGGGGGGCAGUUGCGGGAAUCACGCCAGGGACAGGAAGCCCGGGUGGAGCACCAGUGGCAGGGAGUCAGUUACCUGAAGCAGUUAUCGUCGCCGGAAUGACAAUACCGGUUCCGUUGGAGACUCGCCAGAGAGCACGAAUACGUUGCUGGACCUCCGAAACCAGAUGAGAUAGGCGAGGAUUACCUGCAGCAAAUUCCUGGGCAUCACAAACACGUUGAAGAAGAUCAUCUGGCCAAACAGCUUGCUGACGCGCCAACUCAGAUCCCAGUUCCUCCAGCAGAUCAUCAAGAGAAGACAUGAUAAAUGAGGAGAAAUGAAUCAAAUGAAAGAAAAUACCCUAUUCAUAGGAUAAGAGGAGGGGGGGUACUGAUGGUAGCCCCAAUCCAUCAGCUCAGGCCCACGCAGGAGUCCAGAAACAAGGCCCAGCAAAGUGAACAAAAGAGGAAGGCCCAAACCGCCUCACGGGUACUCGCCCGACCGGGUCGACCGGACGGAUCCAUUGGCCCGGACGGUUAUCUCUUCAAGGGUUGCGUCCCAAGUGUGUCGGGUCCUUUAGGCCGGAUCCUAGUCCGAGAACACAGGGUCCAGAGUCCGGUAGGAAAUUGUAUAAAUACCCCUAGGGGUGAAGUGUAAAGGGGGGAGAACAAUUGUUACUAUAAUUAUAAUAUACGAGAUCAGUCACCAUUCCACAGGGACGCGAUCAUGUGUGUCAGUGUGUGCAUCUAUCUUUCCUCUUUAAUCCUCCUCUCAACUUCUUCAACCUUCAUCGAUCAUGAAUUCCAACAGUAACUUAUAAAGGUUACAAGAAAUUCGAGAGUGAAGUCACCUUCAAAAGCUCUUAAAUAAGUUUGUCAACACCUUUAGGCUAAUAAAUUUCGCGAAUCAAGUCUCGAAUCACGACUCAACAAAUCUAAGGGAUAAACAUGGAAGGAUCAUUUACAAGGGGAAUUAUUUAAAGAGGCAAAGGCUAUAAAAAGGACCCCAUAUAUAUAUGAGAGUUCAUUCAAUUCCUUCAUCCACCAUACAAUCAUUUUGAUCACUCACAUACUUUCGAGAAUCACCAAGAGACAUUUCAAGUUUUAGCUUCCAAGCUUCUCAGCUCCCAAGAAAAAAUCAUCACCAAUCAUCUUCUUUUCUCCCUUGCUUCUUCCCAGACUUAUUGCACACAAUUAUUUUUUAAACAUCAAACUUUGUUAGAGUAAAAGUGUUGUCAAAACUUUGUUAGAGUUGGAAGAAGCCAAAGCUCUCUUAUAUCAAUUAUGUUAAAUUUCUAUUCUGUUUUUAGUAUUAGCUAAGAAGGGUAUUUAAUCUAAGUAUAGAAAACUAAACUAAGCCAAUGAACUAGAACUGAAUAAACUGGAAUGAAUUCCAGAAACUGACUCUAAGAGAAUUGAAAUAAAAUUGAGUUUAAGAAUUGAAAUUGACUAACCAAUCAAAGGAAAUACACAUUGAAAUUUCAAACGAAGAUUUAGCAGAGUACAUCAAAUUGAGGAACGGAACAACAGAAAACUAAGAAAUUGAAUUUGAAGACAGAAAAAUAUAAAAUUGGAUUUCACCUUCCGACUGAAGAUGACACCUGCAAACAGAACAACAACGCCUGAGUAAUCAGAAGGCUCGGACGCGAGAAUGAGAGAAAGGAGAUCAAAAGGAAAGUACUCACAACUAAGAAAUUGAAGUGAAGUUUGAUCGUUGACCCUUCUUCUCUUUAAUAGCCUUUUCUGUUAACUAAAAUCAGUUGUGUAACUGAUUUUUCAGAUUUUUGGGAAAAUCUGUUUUCACAUUAAACUCUGUUUUCACAAAUUAUUCAUCUUUUCUUUUUCAAGUGUGAUCAGAAAUAUGUCAGAAAUCGGGUUCAAUAUUCAUUUUAAAGUAUAAGCCCGGUAAUAUUCUUAGGUUGAAUCUACACCUAAAGUAUGUGUACUCUUAAAUACUUGUAAACUCUUUCAUUUUACUUAAUAUUAGAUAUUACUUUUCACUAGGAUUGGGUAUGGGUCGGGUUUGCCUAAACCCGGACCCGAGUUUUCAAAUCGGGUUCGGGUUCAGGUCAAAACCCGGGAAGGUCAAAAAAUAUUGAACCCGGACCUGAACCCGGUUUUGAUGUCGGGUUUGGUCGGGUUUAAUAAAUUGAUUGAAUAUUUUGCAUAAAAAACCCUGUUGUUUAAAUAAUAUUUAAAUUUUAUAAAAAUCAAAUAAAAUGGUUUGUGAAGAUAGAGAGGGUUUGUGAAGAUGGAGAGAUCUGACGGUGAGGAAAGGUCCGACGACGGCGAGGAGAGGGCCGGCGACCGUAAGGAGAGGGUCGGCGACGGCGAAAAGGGAAAUAAAAGUGGAAAAGGAGAGGGAAAUUAAGGUUUAAAUUUUAAGAUAUGAAAUUAACUAAUUAAGGUUUAUAAAAGAUGAGAAAUUUAUAAUUAUAUAUAUUAAUUUUUUUAUAAAGUGUUUUAUAUGAAAUUAUAUUAAUUAUUUAUAUUUUAAUAAAUUUUUUAUAAAUUUCUUCGGGUUUCGGGUGAGUCGGGUUUGGUUCGGGUUUAAUCCGAACUAAACCCAAAAAAAUCGGGUAAAAAUUACUCGGGUUCGGGUCGUUCGCAUCAGGUUUUAUGACCGAAAAUAUCAACCCAAACCCGGACCCGACCCACGCCCACCCCUGCUUUUCACUAAUUACAUGGUUGAGUUCUUAUUUUUCUCUCUAUUUAAUUAAUUUGAUAUAAGAAGUUAACAACUAAAUUAUAGACUUUUGGUCCAACAUGAACAAUCAAGAUGUUUCAGUUCCUUUUUUUCUUCUUCUAAAUCUCAAGACAUUCAAGUCAUCAUGUUGUUUUAGUGAUGGGACAGUUUAACUAUAUCAAACUAUUUCGUGGCAGGCAGAUUUGAAUUAAAAGUUGAAAGAUGAAAGGUGAAACAGCCAGUCUGUAAAUUCUCUCUUUAUUGAUCUUUGUUCAAAUUGGUCUGUCCAUCUAUCUAUCUAUCUAUAUAUCUAUAUGCAUUAAGUGUAGAUCAACUAACUAGUUUCAUUAAUAAUCACAAAAACACACGAUCAGUUUAACUCAACUGGUCAGGAAGGGAAGGAGGAAGGGGGGGGGGGGUUCGGGGCUCAAAAAAAAACUUUACUUUUUAAUCUCCUGUACUCUGUAGGUGUAUCUCCAAAGUCAAGCCCCCAAACACUUCUGUUUAGUGCUGUUUUCUUCUUACCUUUUGAGCAUUCUGCAAGCUGCAACCCCUCUGUCCGUCUUCCUUUUUCUUUACUUUCCUGUUUUGUCUACCGACGAGAUAGAUGAAGAAUCGAAAAAAAUAGAUGUGGUGUGAGUUUUUCUUCUCCUUGCCGACCCCAGCUUCCUUUUUCUUGAAUUCCAUCCAUUCUAUUCAGGGAUUAUUUUCCUUCUGUUCAAAAUUAUACUGGGUCAAUAGACAAUAGGGUUAUCGUUAUCGUUCUGCCGCCGAUUGGGAGGAAUUCGUGUGGUAGUUUGUUUUACCGACAGGGUGGUACAAAUCAGAUUUUGAUCUUUGAGGCAGGGCGGCAGGGAAGAUAAGAUCGGAUGUAUGGAAUUUAGAAACCCAACUUCUGCAAAGCCAAGAUUUUUGGGUUUUGAUAUAAACAUGCUGUGCGGCCUCGAUAGACUGGUGAGUUCUGUUUACGAUGAAUCCCUUUCUCUUUCAAUUUCGGUUCCUCUUUUUUUUAGCAUAGUUACUAAUAUUGUAUCAAUAGUAGAUCCAUGAAUCUCUGUUUUUUUUGUAAGGGUUUUGCAAAAAAUAAAAAAGGUUGGGAUUUUGAAUUGAUAUCAUUGAAUCCUAUUUUAGCUCUAUAUCUUGAUCGGUUAUGUCCUCGGAUGCUAAUUUAUCUCGUCUCAUUAUUCAAGCUGUUGCCCAAUUCUCCAUGUACCACCGGCAAAGGUAAAGAAAGUGCAGGCCAAACCAAGGUCACAUAUGGUUUCAGUCUUGUGAAAGGCAAGGCCAAUCAUCCCAUGGAGGAUUACCAUGUCGCUAAUUUCAUCCGAACUGGCAACCAGAAGCUCGGAUUGUUUGCCAUCUUCGAUGGUCAUUUAGGAGAUGAGGUUCCAGCAUACUUGCAAAAGAACCUCUUCACAAACAUUUUAAAUGAGGUUUCUAUUGUUUUGUUUCUUCAUUUUGUUAAGAUUUUAUGUAAUUGAUUUGAUGAUCAUUUAACCUGCCUGCAUUGUUGGGAAUCUGUGUGUAACGCAGAAACAAUUUGUCGAUUAUCCUGAUAGAGGCAUCACCGGAGCUUACGAAAAGACGGAUCAAGCAAUUCUUUCUCAUAAUCCUGCUUUGGGUCGAGGUGGUUCGACCGCCGUCACUGCUAUACUUGUAAAUUUUCAGAAGUUGUGGAUAGCUAAUGUUGGUGAUUCUCGAGCAGUUCUACUGAAAGAUGGUGAUGUGUUGCAGAUGACAAUUGAUCACGAGCCGAGCACUGAGCGUCAAUUUAUCGAAGAUAAAGGAGGAUUUGUUUCGAAUCUACCUGGUGAUUCAUUCAUCUCAACUUCAAUAUAAAUGAUUUGUCAUUUUCAAUCUAAUCCUUCUUCGAUCAAAUUGAAGGUGAUGUUCCGAGAGUUAAUGGGCAGUUGGCUGUUUCCCGUGCCUUUGGGGAUAAGAGUCUGAAAUCACAUUUACGAUCCGACCCUGACAUAAGAUCUGCAGAUGUAACUCCAAACACUGAGCUCAUGAUCCUUGCAAGUGAUGGCCUGUGGAAGGUUUUUUUUAACCUGUUAAUUUAACUGUCUUUGUUUCCUUAAUAAAUCCGCGUGUUGCGAAAUUGUGACCUGAAUCAAACUUACUUACAGGUGAUGAGCAAUGAAGAAGCUGUAGAAGUUGCCCGAAAGAUCAAAGACCCUCAAUCUGCCGCCAAGAAAUUGACUGCUGAAGCUCUUAAGAAAGAUAGCAAGGAUGAUAUAUCUUGCAUUGUCGUUCGUUUUAAGAUAUGAGCAUCUUUUUUUAAAGAUGUUUGGAUCGGUGUUUGAACUCAAUUUGAUUAUUUGAAGACUUGGAAAUUUAUCAAUGUUGGUUCUCUUCUCAAGAACCAAUAUAAUGUGUCGGAAACAUGAUCUGCAGUGCAGGAAUUAGAUUCUGAAUAUUUUUACAGAAAUUCAUUGAGUUUUACAGAUUUAUCCAAAUUCACCAAUUAUGCUGUUUGUCAUCUACCACCUGAUAAUUCUACAGCAUCUUGAUUAUAGAUUGAAUCUUCACCCCAAUCCAAUCUUCGCUGUAAUCUUUCGUACUCCUGACGACGAUUGACCUCCACUUGCUGCCAUUCUUCCCAUCUCUCAGCCAAUCCUUCACCUUCCAACAUCCUCACCACCUCUGACAUUGUUGGGCGGUUUUCGGGGGACGAAUGGGUACAGAGAAGUGCAACUUGGAUCAUCAUCUCCACCUCUGCAAUUUCAUAAUUAUUCUUCAAAUUACGAUCAACAAUGUCUCCCAAUCUUUUUUCAGAUUCCAGCUUCUUCACCUUCACCAUUGUUCAACAUACACAGAGCAUCAAAAUAUUUUAAUCAUCUAACACCAAAUGAAAGAGUGAGGAGAGAAAGAAUUUUGAAUUUUCCAUCUUACAUGAUCCAAUAGUAAGACAUCAUCUUCGUCUUCCAAGCGUGCGAAGUCUAUAGCACGCUGGCCCGUGACGAGUUCGAGAAGCAUAAUGCCAUAGCCAAAAACAUCUGUCCUCUCAGACGAUUUUCCGGUGGAUAAAUAUUCAGGAGCUAUGUGACCCAUGGUUCCACGGACUUGAGUAGUGACUGAAGUUUUCCUUACAUCAACCAGUUUUGCAAGACCAAAAUCACCAACAACCGCUUCAAAAUGCUCAUCGAGUAACACAUUGGCGGCUUUUACAUCUCGAUGGAUUAUUUUUGGAUUGCAAUGCUCGUGAAGGUAUUCAAGUCCACGACCUGUCCCUAAUGCAAUCUUUUUUCUAGUACACCAAUCUAUCGGAUCCCCAGUUUUGAAUUCUACAUUUAAAAGAAAAAGAAAAAUCAACGUUAUUUUGAUGCGAUGAAAAUAUCUUUCUUUGAAAAAAAUAAUGAGGUUCAUACCUCGUAAACAGUAGGCGACACUUAAGUUCUGCAUAAAAGGGUAAACCAAAAGGCGUUCCGAGGGUGUUGUGCAGAAGCCUAUUAAUUUUAGAAGAUUUUUGUGAACAGCUACACUUAUCAUCUCAACUUCACGUAGAAAAGCCGCCUCUCCACCAGGGCUUUCAUAAUCAGUCAAUCUUUUUACAGCAAUUUUAGUGUUAUCUCCAAGAACUCCUUUGUAUACUUUUCCAAAACCACCUUGCCCAAGAAUAUUUUUUUCGCUAAAAUUCUCAGUUGCCACUUGAAGCUCUCGCCACGCAAAUCUCUUCAGUUGUCCGAAUUCUAUUCUAUGAUCAUCCACACCUGAAGAGAAAAAAGAAAACUUAAAAAAUAACUUCCUUUGAAAAUAUAAUUUGACAAAAUCACACCUGCAACAUCAACGAAAACGUCAGGGCGGUAGCGUCUCAUUCUGCGUUUCCAAAGAACAAACAAAGACACUAAAAAUAUAAAACACAAGAUCCCUCCAAUGAUUCCAAAAACAAGGCCAACUUUUGACUUGUGAGAUCCACCUUCCAUCAGACGAAGAAGAAAAAGAUUAGCAAACCUUCCUUCCAUUUAAAUCCAGGUUAAACACAAUUUUUUCUCACCAGGUUCGGAAAUACUGCUGGAUACACAAGUGUAUGAAUGGUUUAUACCACAGUUCAAGUUAGUCCCUGUAAAACUGUUUGGAGUAUUCAAUCAAUUCAUGCUAUCCUAUGAAAUCAACUAUAAUAUAGUUGUAGAAGUAAAUAAAUCAAGAACAUAGUACUUGUAUCUUGAAACUGUGAAGAGAUUGUCUGGAAUCCGACCGCUGAGGUCAUUAAAAGAGAGUCCUCUGCCAACAUAAAUCAAACAAUAUUGUACUGUCAGAUAGAAAAUGGCCGCUUUCUAUAUUCUUACAGUUAAAUUUAUAGGGCUUGGUUCAGAUGAGACCUUCCCCUGAGGUAAAUUAAGACUCUUUAAAUCUGACUGGAAUCCCUGUGAUAUGUGGCUCUUGGGAUAUGCAGAUAGAAUUAAAGGGUCUUAUUCAAUCUCACAUCUCAUCUGAAUUUAUAUGUGAAACUUACUUACAUGUCAUUAAGAUUCGAAAGAUUUGAGAAUGAUAGAGGGAUGGUACCAGUGAGGUUAUUUUGACUCAGAUCCCUACCAAUAUGAAAAAGGAUCAUCAUAAUUCAUGAUGACUAUUUCACUAAUCAUAACUAAAUAAAUAGAAAAAAAGGACGAAGGUACUCACAAUAUUUUGAGAUUACCAAGGUUACCAAGAGAAGAUGGAAUUUCUCCGGUUAAGCGGUUAUUUUUCAAAAUCAAGCUUGUCAAACUAGUCAAGUUUCCAAACUCACUUGGUAUCUUACCUGUGAUUUUAUUUCCUGGCAGUGAUCUGCAUGAAAUUAAGAGAAUAAGUUGGCGAAAUUUGAUCUCUAUUUGACUGACUGAUUGAUUGAUCAAUGAACUCACAAUAGAGAAAGUUGCGUCAAAACUCCAAUCUUUGGCGAAAGUGUCCCUGUAAAUCCCAUUGAACCUAAUGUUCUGCAAAUAAUGAAUGGUAUAAAUCUGUAUUUGGUAAAAUUAUAAAGUUUGAGAAAGCAAGCAUACACUCUGGUGACAAUAUUGUCUUUAUCACAAAUCACAGAACUCCAAGUACAUGGAUUAACUUGGUUAGGGUUCCAAUCAGAAAGUUGAUUUGCCUGGGCAUUUAACUUGGAUUUCAUGUCAUUAAGUGCAUCACCUGGAGAUGUGUGUGUGUGUAUUCAAAGCGUCAGACUUCAAAAGAAGAAAAUGCAGAAAUAAAAAAAAAGAUAGAUUAAAAAAUACCUUGAUAAUCACAUACUGCUAAACUGAAAAGAAAACACAAAAUCAAAACCACAUAAAUAUGCAUAUUUUUUCCAAGAUCUUGUUUUCCCUCCUCCUCCGUGUAAUUAACCCAGAAAGAUUGCAGUCUGCAAAGAAACAAAAAAAAAUAUUCAAAAUAACCCAAAGCCAAAACAAGCAAUCAUUCAAAAACAACCCAACAUCCAAAAGAGCAGGGAAGGGAUAAAACUAGAUAUAAUAAAAAUCCCCAAAUAUGGAAGGAGAGUGAUCAUGAGUUUAUGACACAUAACAUACCAAAUCAAGUGUUGAACAGAUGAUUUCCCCAAUUCAGCACUUGCCGGAGAACCUGCAACUAUAGUGGAUUUCUCAAUCCUAAAUUAUCAAUCCUCGCCACCACUGUAGUCUGCAGUAUUCAGUAUUAUUCUAUUAAGUUGUGCGGUGGGGGGAAGAAAGGUAGGAAAAAAGAAUGGAAAAAAAUACUACAAGUUGUUGGCCAAUAGAUGAAGUACACGUGUUAAAAUGUUUUGUUCAGAUUCGGAACUAUUUGUUGUUGUUCACUGUCACUGACUCACUGACUCACUGACUAACUCGGUCUUCACUCUGACAAAUGUCAAUUGCAAUUCAGUUUUGUUUUAAGUUAUUUUUAACAUGUUGAACCCAUUUGGUGAUUCGGUCAAUUAAAUAAAAUAAAAUAAAAAUCAGGUAUGAAUCUAAUCAAUUAAUCAUGUUUUAUUUAAUAAUAGAUGUCUUAAGCUUUUUCCAAUUUAUAAUAAUAGAGAAUUUAGCCUAGCAUAGACUGUUUUUUGUUGAAGUUUAAUAAUGGAGCAGCUUAGUACAUUAGGAGUUUGCUUGAGAGUUGGUGAACCAGGAAUUUCUAAAUUGUCCAAUCAAGUGUCUGAUCUUGUCUGGUAACGAGUGACAAACCCUUGCUACUUCAGAGAGACAACACCUUUGCUUUCUACCAAUAAGCGUGCAUCCGGUUCACUGCUACGUCAAGAUUGUGGUCGCUACCUCAUCUUCCUGGACCGUUGUUAGUCGUGCUCUGAUUUUCUCGGUCGAUGCAGUCUCGUCGCUGCUCGUGUGUUCUCUGACCUCCCCGCCUCCAACUUACGACAUUUCCUUCGGAUGCUGUUGGUACCAUGGACCGCGGACCAUGGACCGAGCUAGCGGCCUUCGAGGCCCAGACGCACGAAUGGGUCUGAAGGCACAGGGUGGCUGGGUGGCCCAUAAGAGAGGGCGCAGCUCGUGGAACUGAUAUCCACUCUACAAGAGAGCCAGCGCCAUCUGCAGGUGCACCAACUCACGGUGGCCCCUCACACCCUCGAGUCAGACGGGGGCAGAGACGGUGACCCGAUGUACGGGCCGGUCCCCCUGAUCGGGGGUUCGGGAGCGACGCAACUCCCACGGGAGGUCCCGUAGGCAGUACGACCCUGGUGGUAGGCGGAGUAGGGGGAGGGGCCCUGGCACAGCACUUGCUAGACGAGGAGUACCCCCCGGGUUGGAGGGCCCCGAAGAUCCCGUAUUACAAGAGGGACACCGACCCGGAGGAUCACCUUCACUCGUUCAAGACCAACAUGGAGGACAGGACGAGCAGAAAGGAUAUCUGGUGCCGAAUGUUCCGCAGAGCCCUCACGGACGACGCGAUAGCAUGGUACAGGACGCUGCCCACAGGAACCGUGCAUACCUACAAAGGCCUGGUAACAGUGUUCCGGGCGGCUUUCUCACACCGACGUAGGAGGCCCAAAAUCAAAGCCACCCUCAGCGCCAUCACACAGGGAGAGUUUGAGAACACAAGUGCGUAUAUGGACCGGUUCGCGGGUGAGGUGCUGAGGUGCAGAAGAUCGAGGGGAUUUCGGAAGAGGUGGUUCUGUACGCCCUACCGGACAGCCUCCGACCCACUUUCUUCGCAGGGGACCUGGUACGAAAGCCGCCAAUCACUUUCGCCGAAGCUAUGGAAAGGUCCCACGGAGAGUGCAACGUGGAAGACUACCUGGGGGCAAAGAUCCAGGAGCACAAGCGGCAGCAGAGGGAGAAAGGCAUCCCUGCAGGCGCAAGGGGGCAGCAGCAGCACCACCACCAACAUCAGCAGCCGCAGACCAAGCCCCCGAUCGCCCCGCAGGCGGCGGUGUACAGGACAGGCGUCCCCGCAGGAGCGGGCGAAGGGAAGCAGGGCCAGCCCCGGCGGCAAACCAAAGGCAAGUUUUCCUCACGCGGAACGGGAACCCUACCCCCGCCAAGGCCGAUGAGGAAGGACGCGACAGCGUUCAGGGACACUCGCCGAUUUUGCGAAUAUCAUGAGGACAACGGCCACACGACAGACGAAUGCCUGAACCUGGCGAAGGUACUGGAGAAAAUGAAGCCCGCAACUGAGCCCCCCCGCCCCGCCAGCGAGACGGUCGGCGGUCAUACCCACGGGGCACCAAGCGCCGAAGCAAGAGCCAGUGGACGAAGCGGUAGGGGAUAUCCUCACCAUCGCAGGAGGGGGCGCCUCCCGGGGGGACAACUUGUGGGAAGGGCGUCGAUACGCCUCCGAUGUGGACCGGACGAUGGGGACGAAACGCCCGCGAACGAAGAUGGAAAUCUCGUUCACAGAGGAAGACAUGAAUGACGUCACUACGUCCCACGACGAUCCGUUAGUUAUAACCCCCAUCUUCCGAAGAGGAGAUAAAUCCAACGUACGCCUCCACAGGGUUCUAGUAGACACAGGGACGUCCAUAGACGUGCUGUACUGGAACGCUUUCGUUGACCUCGGCUUGGCCCGCGCGGAUCUGCUCCCGAGCCGGGCCCUCAUCAGAGGCUUCGGACAGGCGGAAGUCCCGGUAGCAGGGACGAUAUCCAUCCCGAUCACCUUGGGCCGGCAUGCCCAAGCGAAGACGGUCGAAAUCACGUUCACCGUGGUAAACUUCACGUCCGGAUACAACGCCAUCCUAGGGAGAGCGGCGCUAUACGCGUUCCAGGCGGUGAUGUCUUUGCUCCACUAGUGCCUCAAAUUCCCGACCGAAGAAGGAGUAUGUACGGUCAGAGGGUCCCAGAGGAAGGCACGCGAGUGCUACUUCAACUCGGUUGGCGAGGUGAUGACAUCGGACGAGGGCCUACUGCACUCCGCAAGGGAGUGGGUCCCAAAGUCGGAGCCGGUGUCCCGUACGACCCUAAUCAGCCUCGCCCGGAACGAAGUGUGCAUAGGAAAGGACCUUCCGCAGGACUUGAGGGGCGGGCUGGAGCAGCUCCUCAGAGAAAAUGAGGAUUUGUUCGAAAAUGAGCUGGGGGAGCUGAGCGGGGUGUCUCGGGCGCUGGCAGAGCACAAGCUCGCGGUGGCCUCGGGCGCCCGCCCCGUCAGGCAGAAGCUGCGUCCGCUAAGGGCAGAAAAAAGGGACGCGGCAGAAACGGAAGUCAAGAAACUCCUUCGAGCGGGUUUCAUCCGCCCAGUGCGUUACCCCACGUGGCUGUCCAAUGUGGUCAUGGUGAGAAAGGCAGACGUAGGGUGGAGGAUGUGCGUCGACUUCAAAAACCUCAACAAAACAUGCCCCAACGAUAGCUACCCGCUAUCGUCGAUAGACCGGCUAGUGGACCAGAGCUCCGGAUGCGAACUGCUGAGUUUCAUGAACGCGCACUCAGGGUACAACCAAGUGCCCAUGGCAAGGGAAGACGAAGAGAAGACGUCGUUCAUCGCAGAGAUGGGCACGUUCUGCUUCAAAGUAAUGCCGUUCGGCUUGUGAAACGCCAGGGCUACCUUCCAGAGGCAAAUGGACAAGGUGUUCGGGGCGCAGAUAGGCAGAAACACGAAGGUGUACGUGGACGAAAUACUCGUCCGAUCGAAGGAAACCAGGACGCACCUAGCCGACUUGGAGGAGACUCUCGCCAACGUCAGAAAAGCAGGGCUAAAGUUGAAGGCAAAAAAGUGCACAUUCAGGGUCAAGGAGGGGCAUUUCUUGGGUUUCCGGAUCAAGCUAAGAGAGGAAAAGGUUGAAGCCGUCAUGGCCAUGACCCCACCGCGAACGAUAAAGGAAGUCCAAAAGCUGAAUGGAAAGGUGGCGGCGCUGAGCAGGUUCCUGCCAAGAACGGCGGACCGCCUGUGCCCGUUUUUUCAAUUUCUGAAAAACACAGACCCCAGAGUAGCGUGGUCGGAUGAGUGCGAGAAAACAUUCAAGGAGCUCAAAAGCCAACUGUCUCGCCUACCGACACUCCGCCCACGAGAGGAAAGUCUCUCACCAUGUACGUCGUGUGCUCAGAUUCGGCCGUCAGCGCAGUACUCAUCUCGGAAGCGGAGGGCGUGCAGAGGCCAGAGUACUACCACUCCCGAUCACUGCAGGGGGCGGAGGGAAGGUACCUGGAUAUCGAGAAAUUGGCCCUAGCGGUGAUCUCGGCGGUCCGAAGGUUGAAACCAUACUUCCACGCCCACACCAUCACGAUCCCAACGGCCCAUCCGCUGCUCCAGCUGCUGCAAAAGUCAGACGUCUCGGGGAGAUUGACCAAAUGGGCCAUGGAACUCAUCGAAUUCCACUUGGAGAUUGUACCAGUCAAGGCAAUCAAAGGGCAAGCGGUAGCGAAUUUCAUGGCCGAGCUAGCCCCGAAGGAUGGGAAGACAACAAAUGAGCAAUGGUGGACGGCCCAUGUGGACGGGUCAUCCAGCAGCACAGGCUGCGGGGUGGGGGUCGUGGUGAAAACCCCGACGGGGGAAAAGAUCGAGUACUCGAUCCACUUCGAGUUUCGGGCGACCAACAACGCAGCGGAGUAUGAGGCACUCCUGUCGGGGAUCAGACUAACGCGAGCGCUGGGCGCAUCCAAGGUACAUUUCCAUACGAACUCCCAGCUAGUAGCCAACCAAGUCAGGGGCGACUUCGUGUCCAAGGAGGACUCAAUGUCAAUCUAUGUGGCCGAAGCGAGAACGGCCUUGGGCAAACUCGAGGAAUGGAGGAUCUCUCAGAUAGGGAGAGAGGAUAACGGAAAGGCUGACACGCUGGCCAAGCUGGGAGCUUCGCCAGGGAAAGCAGAAGGAAGAUGGAUUCGAAUCGAGAACCAAGAGCACCCGACGAGACCUCACGGCCCCAAGGUGGCGCUGUGUGGAGUGAUAACGUCAGGGGACUGGAGAACGCCGAUUAGCAGAUUCAUCGAGGUAGGUGAAAAGCCAGCAGAUCCGAUGGAGGCCAGGAAACUGAGGAACAGAGCCGCUUGGUUUGUGGUGGCCCAAACCAGGCUAUACCGGCGGUCCGCCGCGGAAGAGGCCCCCCUGCGGCUGUGCAUGUCGUGGGAGGAUGGUAAAGCCAUCGCAAGAAGUAUCCACGAGGGGGCAAGCGGGGCGCACCAAGGCGGAAGGACGUUGGAAAAGCAAGUAGCCAGGCAGGGCUACUACUGGCCCGAGUCAAUAAAGGACUCAGAAGAAAUCGUCGACCGGUGUGACGAAUGGCAGCGGCACUCGAACGUCCAGAGGCAGCCGUCCACCAUGAUGAAGGCGGUAACGACACCUGUCCCGUUCGCAAGGUGGGGGAUCGACAUAGUCGGACCUUUCCCGCCGGCGUCAAGGGGAAGGAAGUUUCUGUUUGUAACAGUUGACUGCUUCACAAAGUGGGCCGAGGCGGAAGCCACAAACACGAUCACCGAGCAGAAUAUAGUGAACUUCGUCUUUAGAAGUAUCAUCUGCCGGUUCGGGGUCCCGAUCCAAAUAAUAACGGACAACAGGACGUAGUUCACGGGGAAGAAGUUAAGAGAAUUCUGCGAAGACAACGGGAUCAAGUUGAGCUUUGCGUCGGUGUACCACCCGCAGGUGAACGGACAAGUGGAGGUUACAAACCGGACGAUAGUGUCGAUCUUGAAAAGGAAAGUGGGCGAACACCUGGGAAACUGGGCGGACAUGAUCCCCGAGACUAUGUGGGAAUACUGCAUGACAAUCCGAACUCCCACGGGCCAGAAACCUUUCGCCCUGGCAUUCGGAAUCGAGGCGGUAGCGCCGGCCGAGCUGAUAUGGCCGACCGCUCGAAUCGAACAGUUCCAGCCAGGAGCGAGCGACCAAGCGCUAUUCCUAAAAAAAGAGCACCUGGAACAUCGGAGAGAGGAGGCGUCCAUCAGGGACCUCACUUACAAGCGAAGGGUGGCGAGGUACCACAACGAAAGGGUGGCCGAGAAGAACUUGGCACCGAGCGACCUAGUACUAAGAAACGCCAAGGUAACGGGGGUGGACCAGACGAAGGGGAAGCUAUCGGCGAAGUGGAAAGGCCCGUACGUCAUCAUGGAUGAGAUUCAUCCGGGUAUCUUCCGCCUAGGGUACGAGGACGGGCAAGAAAUAGAAAGGACUUGGCAUGCCGAUAAUCUCGAAAAAUAUAGGCGGUGACGGCCAGGGCACCACGCAGAUCCUACCUCUACCUCGGUGAUUUUUUUUCUUUCCCUUCAUAUAUAAUGUCAGGCCACCCGACCACAGCACGUGAUGCCCAAUGAAAGGCACCCAGAGUGCCCCCGUUAAUCGAAAGACAGCCCAGCCGACCACCAAAAAAAAAAAAGGAAAAAAAGAGAAAAAAAAUAAAGGGGGAGGCCGCCGAAAAGGCUAGCAGAAGGUUCCCAAGGUCGAAAGACCGCGCGGGAACGACGUUCGAAUGGCCCAGGCUGCCCCCUCGAAGGGAAAGCGCAAUAAGUAAGAACGCGAAAGCGAUACAUUGCGGGGAAAAAACUCUAAGUGUCGGAAAGGGGGAGGCAACGCCCGAUCCCCCGCGACAUAGACGAGUUGGGAACAAGGGAACGAAAACACUAAUUCAAAGCAGGUUCCGUAUAGUCAGGGAAGUCGACCUCGGGAUCUUUCUCUUCGCUGUCACUCACGUCCAGCGAGGGCUGGUAGUGGUGGAUGCCCGUUUCCUCUCAAUUCUCCCAAUCGCGAAUGCUCCGGGGCACGACAAGGCCGGCGAGGGAGGGGGGGGUGAACGAGCUCGCACAUCUUACGCUCGUGCAGGUAGCCUUUCCAGAAGCCGACGCGUUUCGAGUCCUUCUGCAUGUCGGCGUGGUCAGCUUCAACUCCCUCAGACGGGCCUCGAAGGUAGGCACGAAGGCCCCCACAAACUCGUCCUGGGCAGCGGUCACGGCGGCUGCAAGAGAAGCUUGGGCGGCGACGACACGGUUCUCCUCCUCCUCAGCCACUUUGAUGACCUUCGCAACUAGUUCAUCCCGCUCGCGCACGACAACGUCCCAUUCCUGCACGGCGACGUCCAGCUGUGUCUUCGCUUCGGCAAGCUCGACGCGCAUACGUUAGACCUCUUCGUCUUGGUGGAGGCCCUACUGCAAGCGAACUUUGGUGAAAACCGAAAGCUGAAGCAUCUGAUGGUUCAGAUCGCGGUCGAUGUCCGACGAGGGGUGAUCAAGCAACCGCACGUACUCGUCUUCCGUCCGCAACCAGGAGUCGAUGGAGGAGAGUUUUUUCUUAAAAAUUCCGCCAAGGCGGGGCAGGGAGGACUCAGGAUCGACGGCGGCGGUAAACUCGGCUGAAUGAUCGCAGCUCUUCACAAACGUGCGGAAAAGGUCAGGAUUCAUCCCAUCUUUCCGAAAAGUAGCCACGAGGUCGGCGGACAGGAAGUCGGAAGAAACCUGGAUCGGGGAAGACAAGAUCUCGACCUCAACUUCCUCCUCGACAACAGCCUUAGCUUUUCUCUUCUCAGCCAGAAGUUUCCUCCUUCGCUUCCUCUCGACCCGGGUGUUUUCAAGAGCAGAGUCGACCUCGGGGCGCCGGGGCGGGGGAGAAGGCAGGUCGAACUGGAUAGCGUCGUGCGACCGCUUUUUAUGCGAGUGUUUGGGCGGACCGUCCCGGGUGUAGUCCACCUUAAUGGGUAGAGUCAUGUGCUCAUCGUAGCUUCAAGACUGAGCCAACGUCCGAGCAUUGACGGCCCCACGGCGAUAGAUAUUGACCAGGAUGUCCUGCGCGUUCAGCGCCUGAGGCUGCAGCUGCGAGCGACUAGGAGAUGCGGUUCGGCUCUUCAGCUGCGUCAAAAGCGCCCAACGAGAGGGCGGCGGGCUCGCCAGGUCGAACGGGCCGAGAGCAUCCAAGGAGACAAAGAAAAACCGGUCGCGCCAGUGGAUCAAAAAGUGCGUUGCCGGACCUCUGCGCGACCAGCAGGCGGCGAGGGUCCAACGUCAUAGACGUCAUUGAAAACCAGAUGAGGAAGACCGGCACGGAAGCCUCGAUGCUGGCCCGGCGGCAGAGUAACGAGAACGUCGUCAGGCAAUCGAUGGCGGACGGGGGAAACUGGGAGAGGGAGAUGCCACAGAACCACACAGCUUCGGCUAUCAGAGAAGGGAGCGGGAGAGUCAGACCGACCUCGGCAUAAUUGGUGUAAAGGGUGACCAUGUCCUCCGGAGGCUGAGAGGCGAGGCGAUUCCCGACCUCAGUGAAGGCCAGAUCAGGCCGACCCAUCUUCGCCAGAGCUUCCCGGAUCCCGGCGGCGCUGAAGACGGACAGUGGGUUCUUACCAUCCGGAGUGGCAAAGAGGCUUUCCGCUAAGGCGGAACCAGCAACAAGGAGAGGAGCAGUCAUGAGUAGUCUGGAGGAAAGAAAGAAAUCGCAAGUGAGAGAGGUGAGCGCGAGAGCGGAAGUGGAAAUGAAAUUCAAACGCGAGUGUGAGGGGAAGUAAAGGGGUUUAUAUAGGGAUUGGGUGGCGCAGAAGACGAGGCGUCGCAUUUACCUGAAGUUGAUGGGACGGAGCGGGCCAGGAAGCUUCCGAGGGAGCCCACGACCCAGACCGUCGGGAAGCAGAGUGAAGGUCAGCGUCGGGCGCGGAUGGCGGGGCCUCAGGGGGGCGUCGGGAGAAGAGCCUGGCGCGCCCAACGACCAAACAGAGCAGGUAGGACGGGGCGGGGGCAUCCAAGCAAGGUCCCCUACGGGCCCGUUUGGCGGGCCGAAUGAAACAACGUAACGAGUGGGACCCCCCACGAUGAGGGGGAAGGAGGAACGAAGGAGGAGCGUCGACGAAGGAGGGGUUUGCACCUGGUAGCGGGGGCGAAGCUCGAGAAGGGCCCGGGCAACGUCAGCAGAGGACGCCGAAUAGCGUAAAACUGCACUAACGUGCAAGGACGAAAUCAAAACGCGAAACGUGAAAAAGCGAAGAAAAAGCAUAGUACUAAAGCAAAGCAAGGAUUACAAUAACCGACGACACGGCGGAAAAAAAAAGAAGAAGAAAAAAACAACAACAAAGUACGGGUGCAGCAAGUAAAGAGAAAAAAAAUGACGUCAGGGCAUCCCGGGCACCGCCCCACGAAGGCAAGCCCACCACCCGAAAGGGCAUGGGAGUGGGCGCAGAUAGCUCCAGGGCGGGCCCCGGCUUCGGGGACCCCAACAAGAAAUGGCGCAGGUCAGUAGCCGGAAGGGACGAGGACCCACGGGAGCGACGGUGGCCGCGCGACCGACGACGGCGGCCGGUAGCCUCGGCAGGAACAGCAGCAGGAACUGCAAUCGUGCCAUGAGCGUGAAAGAUGUGCGAGGUCCCAACGGAGCCCGAGUCAGCAGCAGGAGCGGUGUCAGGGGGGCGACAGCAGGCCGGCUCGCAAGGAGAUCGGAGCGGCGGACCUGAGAGAGACGACGGUGGACGUCGAUCAGCGCAGCGUUGAGACGUUGAGUCUCAGCCAUGGCCACGCUAUUGGGGACGCCAGCAAGCGACAACAGACACAUAGCCCACGCGGCGUGCUGGAGUUGCACUUCGCGGCCAUAUUCUUCAAGAAUAUCCCAGAUGCUCAUUGCGUAGAAAGGAAGGGAUGAGAAACCAAAGUAGCAAGCGCCCUAUUUAUAGGAGGGGGAAAGGGGGAACAGCUUGAACCUCGAGGAGCCUUCAAGACUAGUAAAGAGGGGAUGGUGGAGGCCAAGCGCGAACGGGUGCCCCCCGAGCCCGGGCCCAUCGAGGAAGGGGAGAGUACUGUUGGUACCAUGGACUGCGGACUGAAUGAGCGGCCUUCGAGGCCCAGAUGCACGAAUGGGCCCGAAGGCGCAGGGGGGCCGGGUGGCCCAGGAUCAAUCACGGGACACUAUAAAUACCUCCCUUGGUCCAUCAGGGGAGGGGGUUGACAAUCGGAGUAACACUUGUAAUAUAUAGGUUAGGUCGACGAGCUUGGUCCGGCGAGCUCACGUACCAACAGAUGCCAUACAAGUAUGCCUAGCGCGUCGGUUGGGGCUCGGGAAGGGUUCCAGUUUUCUUCAAUGCUGGGAAUACCUACCUUUAAUUUGAAGUCAGCAUGAGCUUGGUAUCUCUAUGGUUCCCCUCUUUCUGCCUCUUUUCUUAGGGCUUUCCCUCUACCUUCGAAACUUUGGAUUUUGACGUGGAGGCUCCGUCCUUUAGGUAUAAGCUGCAUAUGCACUCCUCUUAUGUCAUUGUCGUGUCAGUUUGAACUUUGGCUCGAGGCAGUCCUUACUCCUCGACAUUCGUUACUCCUUAGGCCCGCUCCAUGGUAUAUGCGAAAUAUGCAUGAUCUCGUACAGGUCGAUCGUGAAUAAGGUUGGUCUAAGGUCGUUGUUGAGGGUCAUCUGUACUGCUUCCUCCUGAAUAUCGUCUAUUUUUUGGAUGACGGUUGCAAAACGAUUCAUGUAAUCGUACGUGGUCUCUUUUUUUCCUGUACGUAUUACGCUCAACAACGUAGUCCUUAUCUUUUUCUUCUAGAUUCAAUGGCUGAUGAAUGUGACCUUGAAGGUUCUCUUCAACUCCUCAUACAUGUGUAUGCUUCAUGUGGGGGGUCCCCGAUACCAUCUGACAGUGUCACAUGUCAAAGUUCUUCGGAACAUCUGACAUAAAAUAUCCUUUCUUAUCCAACAUGUUCUCCAUACCUGUUUAAAACGAGGCAGCGCGUACGCCGUUAGUGUCGACGUUCUCUACCCUGAUGGACAUUCCUCCGACAACAGGUGGUGUGUCAAUGCCUCCCUCUUCCCUUGUUGAAGCUCGAUUUGGAUUAUGGAUGGUGACCUGACCCUCUCACUGCCAUCAACGUUUUCCCUGAAGUUGUCUCUGACUCUCUUGUAGUCUCGCGAUCACCAACCAGAUCUUGUCAUUCGUAUGCCAUUCACUUCCUUUAGGUACGUUCUCUUCUUCAUGGAUGCCUUUUUCUGCACCCCUGACAUUUUUGACGGGCUAUCUCUAACCUCGCUCGUCACUCGCGUCUAGACCUUCUUUCCAUAGGGAAUGGAGAUCAGUUGCGGAUGCGAUUCAUACCUCUUUGCCUCUCGAGCCGAUGUCUGACCCUCUCGUGCAAUAUUAAGUGAGAUGGUUCUGACUCAUAAUUCGGCAGUCCCUAGGUAGGGUCUUUUCUUCGUCCUUGUUGCGUAUCACGAAUAAUCACAUUUGUCGGCGGACCUUCCGUUCUUUGUGGAGUCUUCUUCCUGAUCUUUUCGUGACUUGCCUCCAUUUAGCUGGAAUGACGGAAAUUCUCAUCAGUGUUGUGUGUUUACGUCAAGUUCACCGUAUGGUGAGUAAGCGUGCCCUUACACCAACUCCCUCAUUGAAUUUAUCUAAACCUUAAUCAAUGAACAAUCACUCAUCCCUUCUAUAUUCACUCUCUUGUUCUUUCUAUAUUCUUGAGUGGCAAAAGAUCAUUGGGAACAAAUAUAGUGGUGGGGAGAUCAUUGACCUCACUAAAAGAAUUUCCUAUUUUUUAAUAUGUAGACAAAGAUUUAAAUAUUUAAUAAUUCUUCUUAUGUUUUUUCCCCUGCCAAUUUUGACGCUUGCUUUGUUUGACUCUGAAAUAUUAGAAAGUAAAUUAUCACCAACCAUACCCACCACUACCGGCGGCCAGUGCCACCUGUUAACUGUUAAGAUCUAAAUGUGUAAGGCUGCAACCUGCAAGCAUCUAAGGAUUACAUAUGGUGGGUCCGAUCACAGAUGAUGGGUCCCACUCACAUUAUCUCACCAAACACGUUUAAUUCCACUAAGUGUUAAAUUCUACAUGUUCGUGUACCAAUUUUCAAACUGAUAAUAUUUUUAUUAUUAUUUCUAACUACCAUCAAAUUCAAAAUCGGACUAAUUUUUUCAUACGAUAGAAAUGGACCAGUCGAUUAAAUUUGGUUUAAGGGUGGGCCGUUGAUCUAAUUCUAAAAAUUUGGUAUUUUGGUGGGUGAAAAACUGAAAAUGAAAUAAAUUAAUAAUAUUAUUGUCGGAUAUAAAAAUGAUAAAUGGUCCAACCCACCUACCCUUUUUUUUUUUUUACUGUAUAAAUCCCUAUCGUCCUUCCUACCUUCUUUCUUCCAAUUAUUGAUUCAUUCGCAGAAGUCACCAACCCACGCACGGCGGCACGACUUCACGACGAUGGCAACUUCCACCGCUUCUGCAUUUCUAUCUUCCAACUCCCUCCUCCUCCGCCACCCUCAACAACCUCAGAUCAAGCCACACAGCUCCUCCUCCUUCCUGCGAAUUUCCGCCGUAACGAAUCCGGACCAAAAUAAGAAAUCAGUCGCCACUCCUCCGGCAGCCGCUUCCCCCGUCGCCACACCCGUCACUACACCCGGAUCAGGAAAAUGGUCGGUGAGCACCUGGAAAACAAAGAAAGCUCUGCAACUACCUACGUACCCCGACGUCAAAGAUCUGGAAUCUGUGCUCGGCACCAUCGAAACCUUCCCGCCUAUUGUCUUCGCCGGUGAAGCUCGUCAUCUCGAGGAGAAACUUGCAGAGGCUGCUAUGGGUAGAGCGUUUCUUCUACAGGGAGGUGACUGCGCUGAGAGCUUCAAGGAGUUCAACGCCAACAACAUCAGGGACACUUUCCGUGUUCUCCUCCAGAUGGGCGCCGUCCUCACCUUUGGAGGCCAGAUGC